RNAcentral lists this long non-coding RNA (51124 nucleotides) under Hordeum vulgare. Its description in RNAcentral is "long non-coding RNA (HVUL_LNC021640)". The record is from RNAcentral. Lineage: Eukaryota; Viridiplantae; Streptophyta; Magnoliopsida; Poales; Poaceae.
UUUUUUUAAUGUUGUUUGAAAUAGAAAGUAAAGAAUGAGAGAGAUGAAUGAAAGAUGAUUCAUUAGUCUUUAUUGAUGAUAGCAAUGGGGUAUUUAUACCCGGGCGGAAGUACACAUGUUGCUUGGGAGUCAAGUAACUUGAAGUUACUUAAGGACCAAGUUAUUACAUAGUUUCCUUGAGAGUCAAGGAAGUGCAUGGUUGCUUGAGGACUAACUAACCUAUCUAAGAAUUAAAUUAAUCCUAAUCAGCUUAAUUAAUAAGAAACUAAUCUAUUCUUAACACUCCCCCUUGUAUAAUGCCUCUUCUUGAGUAUAUGCAUCAUCUUCAUAAAUUCUUUGAAUAUUCUUGAAAGUCUCCUCCAAAAACCCCAUGGGAAAAAUACGAGGAGAAUUGUGCAGACAUGAUGCUAAAACUCCUUUAAACCCAGUGGGAAAAAUAAUAAGGAAAAAAUGAUGCAACGUAUAAUGAUUAUUGCCUCUUGAUAACUCAUAUGAGAAAAAACUUUGUAGAAGGAGAAAACUCAUUGGUGAGUUUAGAGAACAAUUGAUAUGUCUUGAGUACUUCCUUUAAAAAACCCAAUAGGGAAAAUAGAAAGUAUGACAUAUGAUCUUUGAUAAUAUAUUGCCUCAUUAAAAACCAUUAUGAGAAACUUUUGAGAGAAAAACUCAUAAGGGAAAAGAGUGCAUUUGACAUGCCAUUGAAAACUCCUUUAAAACCCAGUGGGAAAAUAUAAGGAGAAAAUGAUAUGGCAUAUACAAACACUUGUGUUUAUAUUGUCUCAUUAAAAACCUUUUAUGAGAAACUAUUAGGGAAAAACUCAUCAAGGGAAAAAGAGUACAAUAUAUGCAAUCUAAUGAUUGUUAAUAGGUUAUAGUUUGGGAGAUUACUCCCCCUGAACUUUGCAAAUAUGGAGGAUGUCUCAUACCAAUUUCAUUGACAUGAACAUAAAAUUGUGUAUAAUCUGUUGGAUUUUCACAAGAUUUUGUUUGCAAAUCAUUUCCUCACUUUUCUAUAAUCCAUGAGGAUAAGUAGUUUACGAGCAAUGUGAUUUAUGAUAUUGCUCUUCAUAUAACAUGUAGGUAUUGAGUAACACAAGUGGAAGUAUCUUGAUAAAUCAAGUUAUGUGAUUCUGAUAAAUCUCAACCACAUGAUUUUGAGUGUGGUUAAUCAUUCUGCCAAGCCAUGCAUAUUUUGCAAUACUUUUAGAUAAAACAAUUAUGUCAAAAUGAUAAGUGGGAAUAACCAUUAAAGUCCAUUUAGAUGACUUCCAUAUGGAGGCUAUUCCAAAAAAUUCAGUCAUUGAUAUGGCGUCAUUGGGAUCAAAUAAAAAGCCAAUAUCAUCAUAUCACAUUAUGGUCAUAUCUUGUAUUUCCUGAUGGAAUUGUCCAAUAUUUAUUGUGAGCUUAAGAUAUAAGAUGAUAUUCCAUAUAUCAAGCAUGUUACUUUUGUUGGGGGUUGCACUCUGAACAAACAUAGCAAAUAUGGUGUCAGGCCUGACAUAGUUUGCAAUCAUAUGAGUGCUUUGACAUUAGUGAGGUAUAGAACUUCAGGUCUUUAUGUCACUUCAUUAUUAACCCUAGGUAUGUACCUUAUCAAAGGUAGUAUGACCAUACAUGUCUUAUGUUGUUAUGAUAUAUCCACAUUGAACUUCUCAUAUAUGUUUUGGAUAUAUGUAGACUGAUAUGUAUUCUUGAGAGAAUGCUGAAGUUGUAAGCUUAAGCUAAAUUUGGUUGAAUCCAAAAUUUCCGUCUUGAGAUGAUUUUGUGUAUGUUUAUGUCUUGCAGAGACAUUGAUGAUGAAAUCAUCGAUAUACACUCAGGUGAUGUAAGGGAAUCAAAUUUUGGGAUUCCUUUAUUAACACAUGAACAAUCAUCAUCCUUUGAGUAAUCCUCUGAAGAAGGAACUCGUCUAGUCGGUAGUACCAUAUGAUUCACGACUAUUUCUAGUCAUAGAGUGACUUAUGAAGUUUUACACAAUACAUGUUGCGAUUUGUUUUUGGAUUCGGAAAUGAAGCCCUUCAGGGACUUUAAUAUAGAUUUCCGAAAUGAGUGACUCAUAUGAGUAUGUAGUCACUGCAUCCAUUAACUGCAUGGAUAAUAUUAUUUGUACUGCCAACGGUAUUUAUUAUCGAAACAUAGUUCCACUCAUACCAAGAAGGUAUGUUACAUCGUAAUCGAUGUUGGGUCUCUGUGUGAACCCUUUUGCUACAAGCCUCGCUUUUUCACCACCUCAUUGACUUUGUCUAUGAAUGAGAAGUUUUUAGUAUUCCAUAUGGAAGAUACUUAUGAGGAGUAUGUAUUACUGUGGUAAAUACCACUCUUUGAUUGGCGAGUGCUAUUCUUCAAUACUUGCUUCCUUUUAUGUGAACCAAUAUGAGUACAAGAGGCACUCUACCAUGGAUUUUGGUUCAGGGCCCAAAAGGUUAUAGCAAUCUUUAGAAGAAAUAUAUGUCGACAAAUGUAGACUUAUGUUAUAUGAUUCUAGAGGAAUCGCUGAAAUUUGUGGAAAUGUAUUUAUUCCUUUUAACUCCUUGUGAUUUCCUACAACAGUGGAGUCAAGGUGUUUCAAUGUCCCGACACCAAAACAUUUGUACACAUUUAUGCCAGGCUUUGGAUGAUGACCAUCCAGUGAGGUGUCUUUCAACUUGAUGUUGAAUUACAUUUACUGGUUCAGGAUUUGAUUUCCUCUGUUUCCGCGGAAGCAUAUGCGAGAUUAUAUCUCAUGUGGUCAAAUUUCUCCCCCUCUUGCUCUCAUUUGGGGAGAAGAGUGGUUUAUCAGGUACCUCCACUCUAUCUGACACUUUACUGUAGGAAUAUAAAUUUGAGUGACACCUUUGUCAUCAGUAAAUGUAUGUGGCAGAUUUGCAAUGAGUUGCAAAUAUGUGAUUCUAAACUUCUUGUUCAGAUUCUUUGAGUACGUGGAUAUAAGGACUGAAUGUCAAUAACAUGUCUAAUUUAUUUCUCGGCAUUNNNNNNNNNNNNNNNNNNNNNNNNNNNNNNNNNNCGGCAUUCUUUGUGGUACUAAUCUCCCCCUAAUGCUGGAAAUGUCCUUAUUGCUGAUGCAAUCAGCAUACGGGCUGUGAAUAAUUUUGAUUGACGGAUAAAUUAUUAUUCCUCACAUAGUUCCCUAAAUUUCUGUGAGAGCCCAUUGAUGUAUGCUGGAGUGGUGAUAUCGGUAUGUAACCAAAUUAUCGCAGAUAGGAAAUACUUUGUUGAUUUCCACGUAAUUACUACAAGGGGAAACUAGUAUGUUAUGCAGUUGGUAUGAUUUAGAUCAUACUUACGGUGUGUAAUGUCGUAUUUAUCUAGCAUCAGGCUAGUAAAUUACGAUUCUAUAAGUUUGGUCAUAUUAUUAAUUUAACUAUCUUUGAUAAGAUAUUGAACUAAACCUUUAUGUGUAUGUACAUAAAGUAUUAGGUAUAAUCAGACAUUGCUUGUGAAAUGAGUUCAACGAAGUUGUCCAUUCGAAUGGAUUUAUCCCUUGUUUAGGAUAACUAGCUUGCUUUUACUUUGAGAAUUUGAGAAAUUAAUUUAGUUAUAUAUUCAUGGUUUGUGUGACAAGAGACACACUGGAAAUCAUUUUAUAAAUGUUUCCAUGAGUACCAUGAAGUAUCUAUAUAAUACCACACAAUGGUUGAGUAAUGCACAUAUCUUCUGAAUGUGUUCAAGGAAGAAUGAGUUGGCCCAUUUAGAAUUGUAAGGUGGGAGUUCCUUAAAUUAAUUUUCCCUAUGGCACAUGUGGUGCACAUAAAAUCUGAUGAUUUGAGAAAUUUUGCAACUUGUUAAGUUGUGACCAAUAGAAUUGUCAGUUAUUUUCUAAUCAUCCCCAAACCAGGAUGGCUAAAGCUAUUAAGCUUAAUAUUUAAUUUAUUAAUACUUAGAAAAUCAUUGUGUACGCAACAAUAUUGAGUAUGAAUUGAUUCAUACAUUCAAAAUUUAUCAAAUAUAAUGUCCAAUAAAUAGGAUAUUGGACAUUACACUAUAUGUAGUAGCACAAGUAUAGGCUAAUGUUAUUUUGGGAAUAAUUAGGAUAUUCCAUGAGGUCACCCAUAUUACUGAAAAAUUAAUUAUGCAAAUAUAUCAUAGGCAUAAACGAAUUGAUCAUUCUUUUAUUACACUAUAUUUUUGGUUCUCCUUCUAAUGAAGAUUUGGAAACAAUCAUUUACGAGGAUAUUUCCUGGUUGUAUGUUUGCAAAUUUUCAACUAUCCCAAUGAACUUAUUUGCCUUCUUAAUAAAUUUAUGGUGUGGUUUGACCAUAUGUUUGACGGUUUGGUAAUCAUAUGUAUGAUAUUUAUGUAACCACACAUUUGACAAACUUGAGAGCUGCCUUUGUGAUCAUUUGAAAAUGAUCAAUUACCAAUUAAAAAGGUAAUUAUGUCAUUGGUUGUCUUUAGCCUCCACUUUACUUUGAAUUCCUCAUGGUUCUAUUUUGUAACCAUUGACUUGCAUAGUAUUCUCAAUGCUAGCAAAUAUUUGAAGCACCCGUUGGGUGAAUAUGAUGAUUUUAAGAAAUAACAUGUUUCUUUACCAUGAGAAUGGUAAUACCAUCAUAAGAGGAUGUAAAGUGUAUUAUGGGCUUUUCGAUCGGAUUCAAAUACGAAAAAUAUCUGAUAAUAAAAUCUCAACUUAAAGUUGAUUUUAUAACUACCAAAAUUGUAAGUUGCAAUAGACUUGAGGCCUUGAAAAACAAUUAUUGGGUUAUCAUUCCAAAUGUGCUCAUGGCAGCAUGUUCUCUUAAGAGAAAUAUUCAAGGUGAAUAUAUAUUCAUCCAUUAUGUACUUAGUUUGAGAACUAAGUGAACUUGGUGACACAUGAAAUACAUAUGAAUAUACUUAGCUAUUAAGAGAAUAGCCAUGACACAUAUUCCGAAGGCGGAGUUAUAGUGGCCACAAAUGCCACAUGUGGAUAUAAUGACUGAUGUCAUGAAUCAUCUUACGAUAAAUACUCCCACCUAACAUGAAUUUAAAGCAUUUGGAAAUGCCAGCCAUGUGUUACAUGAAAGUGCUAUUACAUUCAUUUUAAUUUACUUCUAUGAGUAAGAAAUAUAUAUUGAUAAAAUAAUUUGUUUGAGAACAACCAUGGCCAAGGUGAUCCUUGGUGAACCUAGGUGUAUCCUUCAAUAUACACUAGUAGAAAACAGGGCUACCUUUCGGCCAUGGCCAGCCCAUUAGUCCCGGUUCUUCAAGAACCGGGACCAAUGGGGGGUAUUAGACCCGGUUCGUGAGCCCAGGGGGCCGGCCGGGGCCUCGUGGGCAUUGGUCCCGGUUCGUGUGUAACCAUUUAUCCCGGUUCGAGCCACGAACCGGGACCAAUGGUCCUCGCUGCUGGCCCACAACCAUUGGUCCCAGUUCGUGGCUUGAACCGGGACAGAAGGGUUGGCUUUAGUCCCGUUUCAUGCCACGAACCGGGACAAAUAACUUGCCUACAUAUACCCACCGCCGCGGCAGAGCACUCCACGGUGCUCUGUUUUUGUCAAGCCGGCGAGGGGAGGGCAUUUGGGUGCUCUAGUUCACCUCCUAUGGACAUGAGGUGUUCGAUGAAAUGCCCGAGCCACACUAGUUAAGCUUUCUCCUCUCGAAACUCGACCUCCGAGCUCCAUUUUCAACGAGAUUUGUCUAGAUUUAGCGGUUCGUCAUGCCCCGUCCCCGCCCCGUCUUCACCGCCGUUGAUCGCCUACGCCGAUCUCGUCGCCGGCACCACCGUGGUGAGCCUCUUGUUCUUAUCUUCUUUCUGAAAGAAAAAAAUUCUGACUUCAGAUAGAUACUUGUCUAAUUUUCUUACUUUUAUUAUUCCUUGUUAUUAUAUAGUGCGAUGGUUUUGGUAUCCGCCCCCGUCGGCCCUCGUCCUGUCUAUGAUUCAGAUGUGGUAUAUAUUAUCUUUUCAUAACUAUUUGGUUCAUUUAUUGUUUAUGACAAUUAUGCCGACCAAUGUGACAUAGAUUUUAUUUAUCUAGGAGGUUGUUGAACCGAAAAUUCCAACCGACCCUAUUGUCAAGAGGUUAAAUUUAGUUGAAGAAGAAAACAAUUACUUGAAGGAAAAAAUAAGAAAAAUUGAGGAGGAGAAGAUGAUAUUGGAGUUGCAUGUUGCGGAUGUCAUCGAUGAUCACAAGAUCAAGAUGGAUGCAAUGCGGUUGAAGAUUAAAAAGAUUAGAAAAUAUGCCAUUCAUACCGAGGCUUGGUAUCAUUAUGCAGUUGGAUUAGUUGUUACCUUGGUUGCGGUUAUGAUCGCAUUUGUUUUUGCAUUGAAAUGUUUUACAUAAUUUCAAUGUAUGGUUUAAUUAGAUGCUCUGGAGAGCUAUAUGUUGUUCAAUGAUAACUAUGUAUGUACUUUGGUUUUAAUGCUCUCGAGAACUAUGUAUGUACUUUGGUUUCAAAGUUCAUUUCAAAUGCUUUUCAACUUCAUGGUCUUACAUCUUUGAAUGGUGCAUUUUGAACACAGAAAAACAAGGGAGUUCAAAUAAGUUCAAAAAAAUUGAAAUCCCUUUGUAACAGACGAGUNNNNNNNNNNNNNNNNNNNNNNNNNNNNNNNNNNNNNNNNNNNNNNNNNNNNNNNNNNNNNNNNNNNNNNNNNNNNNNNNNNNNNNNNNNNNNNNNNNNNAUGCUAUGUGGGUGAAAAUAUGAUACCAUGCCAACUUGGAACCUUUUUAGAGUUCAUUUCAAAUGCUUUUCUAUUUCAUGGUCUUAUAGCUCAAAAUAAUGAACAAAUGCAUCAAAAAUAACAAAUGAAGUCAAAAAGGGUUGUAAAUUGAUGAUGUGGCUUUAAAUGAUGCAUUUUGAACACAGAAAAACAAGGGGGUUCAAAUAAGUUCAACAAAAAUGAAAUCCCUUUGUAACAGACGAGUUUCCGUAUGAAACCCUGAUACUUCGAAGGAGAUUGUGUGUUUUGUACACGAAGUGCAUCCAGUUUUUGCCGUAAGCCUCUCUACUUUCUUGCACAUGCUAUGUGGGUGAAAUGAUGAUACCAUGCCAACUUGGAACCUUUUGAGAGUUCAUUUCAAAUGCUUUUCAAUUUCAUGGUCUUAUAGCUCAAAAUAAUCAGUAAAUGCAUGAAAAAUAACAAAUGAAGUCAGAAAGGGUUGUAAAUUGAUGAUGUGGCUUUGAGUGGUGCAUUUUGAACACACAAAAACAAGGGGGUUCAAAUAAGUUCAACAAAAAUGAAAUCCCUUUGUAACAGACGAGUUUCCGUAUGAAACCCUGAUACUUCGAAGGAGAUUGUGUGUUUUGUACACGAAGUGCAUCCAGUUUUUGCCGUAAGCCUCUCUACUUUCUUGCACAUGCUAUGUGGGUGAAAUGUUGAUACCAUGCCAACUUGUAACCUUUUGAGAGUUCAUUUCAAAUACUUUUCAAUUUCAUGGUCUUAUAGCUCAACAUAAUCAGUAAAUGCAUGAAAAAUAACAAAUGAAGUCAGAAAGGGUUGUAAAUUGAUGAUGUGGCUUUGAAUGGUGCAUUUUGAACACAGAAAACAAGGGGGUUCAAAUAACUUCAACAAAAAUGAAAUCCCUUUGUAACACAUGAGUUUCCGUAUGAAACCCUGAUACUUUGAAUGAGAUUGUGUGUUUUGUACACGAAGUGCAUCCAGUUUUUGCCGUAAGCCUCUCUACUUUCUUGGACAUGCUAUGUGGGUGAAAAUAUGAUACCAUGCCAACUUGGAACCUUNNNNNNNNNNNNNNNNNNNNNNNNNNNNNNNNNNNNNNNNNNNNNNNNNNNNNNNNNNNNNNNNNNNNNNNNNNNNNNNNNNNNNNNNNNNNNNNNNNNNGGCAUGGUAUCAUCAUUUCACCCACAUAGCAUGUGCAAGAAAGUAGACAGGCUUAUAGCAAAAACUGGAUGCACUUCGUGUACAAAACACACAAUCUCCUUCAAAGUAUCAGGGUUUCAUACGGAAACUCGUGUCUUACCAAGGGAUUUCAUUUUUGUUGAACUUAUUUGAACCCCCUUGUUUUUCUGUGUUCAAAAUGCAGCAUUCAAAGCCACAUCAUCAAUUUACAACCCUUUCUGACUUCAUUUGUUAUUUUUCAUGCAUUUACUAAUUAUUUUGAUCUAUAAGACCAUGAAAUUGAAAAGCAUUUGAAAAGAACUCUGAAAAGGUUCCAAGUUGGCAUGGUAUCAUCAUUUCACCCACAUAGCAUGUGCAAGAAAGUAGAGAGGCUUACGGCAAAAACUGAAUGCACUUCGUGUACAAAACACACAAUCACCUUCGAAGUAUCAGGGUUUCAUACGGAAACUCGUCUUUUACAAAGGGAUUUCAUUUUUGUUGAACUUAUUUGAACCCCCUUGUUUUUGUGUGUUCAAAAUGCACCAUUCAAAGCCACAUCAUCAAUUUACAACCCUUUCUCACUUCAUUUGUUAUUUUUCAUGCAUUUACUGAUUAUUUUGAGCUAUAAGACCAUGAAAUUGAAAAGCAUUUGAAAUGAACUCUGAAAAGGUUCCAAGUUGNNNNNNNNNNNNNNNNNNNNNNNNNNNNNNNNNNNNNNNNNNNNNNNNNNNNNNNNNNNNNNNNNNNNNNNNNNNNNNNNNNNNNNNNNNNNNNNNNNCACAUAGCAUGUGCAAGAAAGUAGAGAGGCUUACGGCAAAAACUGGAUGCACUUCGUGUACAAAACACACAAUCUCCUUCGAAGUAUCAGGGUUUCAUAUGGAAACUCGUCUGUUACAAAGGGUUUUCAAUUUUUUUGAACUUAUUUGAACCCCCUUGUUUUUUGUGUUCAAAAUGCACCAUUCAAAGCCACAUAAUCAAUUUACAACCCUUUCUGACUUCAUUUGUUAUUUUUCAUGCAUUNNNNNNNNNNNNNNNNNNNNNNNNNNNNNNNNNNNNNNNNNNNNNNNNNNNNNNNNNNNNNNNNNNNNNNNNNNNNNNNNNNNNNNNNNNNNNNNNNNNNAUUCUAAGCUUAGGAUCCCAAUGUGCUGGAAAGCAGAAUAACAAAGUAUGUUAAGAUAGUGACAUUUGCAACCACAACUGGUACAUCCUCGCAAAUGCCGAUAAGGAAAGCAGUUGAUUUGUCGGCCAUUUGCAGAGAGAUUUCAGUGGGUGUCAACUUAUCCAGUUCAAGCCUACGAUAAAGAGAGAGAGGCAUAACACUAACACCGGCUCCAAGAUCGCAUAAAGCAGUUCUAAUGUAGUUGCCUUUAAUGGAGCAAGGUAUAGUGGGCACUCCGGGAUCACCUAGUUUCUUAGGAGUUCCACCCUUGAAGGUAUAAUUAGCGAUCAUGGUGGAAAUCUCAACCUCAGGUAUCCUCCUCUUAUUAGUCACAGUAUCCUUCAUGUACUUAGCAUACGGAGACAUUUUGAGCAUAUCUGUCAAACGCAUUUGCAGAAAGAUAGGUCUGAUCAUUUCAACAAAUCGCUCAAAAUCUUCAUCAUCCUUUUUCUUGGAUGGUUUGGGAGGAAAGGGCAUGGGUUUCUAAACCCAUGGUUCCCUUUCUUUACCAUACUUCCUAGCAGCGAAGUCAUUCUUAUCAUAUCUUCUAUUCUUUGGUUGUGGGUUAUCAAGAUCAACAUGUUCAAUCUCCACAUCCUAUCAUUGCCAGGUUGAGCAUCAUCAUGAACAUCACUAUCGAUAUUGUCAUUAGGCUCAUGUUCAUCACCAGAUUGUGUUUCGGCAUCAGAGACAGAGACAUCGUUUGGACUCUCAGGUGUAGCGGCAACAGGGUUGCUAGCGUGCAAAUCCGUAUCAUCUUUCUUCUUCUUCCUAGGAUGACUAGGUGCAUCAGUUCUAACUCCUUGAGAAUCUUGUUCAAUUCUCUUAGGAUGACCCUCAGGAUACAAAGGUUCCGGAGUCAUUCUACCGCCUCUAGUGACGACUCUAACAGAAUUGUCAUUCAACUCAUUGAGCAAGUCAUUCUGAGCCUUAAGUACUUGUUCUACUUGAGUAGUAACCAUAGAGGCAUGUUUACUCGUAAGCUUAAGAUCAUUGACAUUUCUGUCCACACAUGCACUUAAAUGACUAAGCAUACGAGCAUUCUGUUCCAAUUGUCUGCUAACAUAAUCAUUGAAACUUUGUUGUUUGGCAACGAAGUUAUCAAAUUCAUCCAGGCAUAAGCUAGCAGGCUUAUCAAAAGGAAUAUCACUCUCAUCGAAUCUACAAAGAGAAUUCACUUCUACUACCUGUAUCGGGUUAUCGAGACCAUGGAUCUCUUCGAUAGGUGGUAGAUUUUUGACAUCUUCAGAUUUAAUGCCUUUCUCUUUCAUAGAUUUCUUAGCUUCUUGCAUAUCUUCGGAACUGAGGAAUAGAAUACCUCUUUUCUUCGGAGUUGGCUUAGGAGGUGGUUCGGGAAUAGUCCAAGCAUUCUCAUUGCACAAGAUAUUAUUCAAUAGGAUCUCAGCUUGUUCUAUAGUUCGUUACCUAAAAACACAACUAGCACAACUAUCUAGGUGGUCUCUAGAAGCAUCGGUAAGUCCAUUAUAGAAGAUAUCAAGUAUUUCAUUCUUCUCAAGAGGGUGAUCACGCAAAGCAUUCAGCAGCUGGACGAGCCUCCCCCAAGCUUGUGGGAGACUCUCUUCUUCCACUUGUGCAAAGUUGUAUAUUUCCUGCAAGGCAACUUGCUUCUUAUGGGUAGGGAAAUAUUUUUCAGAGAAGUAGUAGACCAUAUCCUGGAGGCUACGCACACAACGAGGAGCAAGAGAAGUGAACCAAGUCUUAGCAUCAUCCUUUAGCGAGAAAGGAAACAGCUUGAGGAUAUAGUAGUGGCGGAUAUUUUCCUCACUCGUGAAUAGGGUGGCUAUAUCGUGCAGUUUGGUAAGAUGGGGUACAACCGUUUCAGACUCAUAACCGUGAAAAGGAUCAGAUUCGACUAGAAUGAUUAACUCAGGGUCGACAGAGAAUUCAUAAUCUUUAUCGAUCACAAAGAUAGGCGAAGUAGCAAACUUCGGGUCGUAUUUCAUCCUAGCGUUUAGAGAUUUUUCUUUCCACUUGAGCAGUAAUUUCUCAACAUCAUAUCUAUCCUUACAAGCAAGAAAGUCCUCAGCUAUCUCUCCCUCCAUAACAUAACACUCAGGCAUAUCAGGCAAUUCAUAUCUAGGAGAUCUAGUUCUGGCAGGCAAAAUAGCAGGUUAUACUUCAAUAGUAUCAGCAGUUUCAGAAGUAUCAUCACAUCUAGCAGCAACUCUAGCAAUUUGUGCAUCAAGGGCACCUAGUGGCAAAGAAGUAUCAAGCAUAGCAUCAACAUAAGCAUCAUGGGCAGCAUAAGUAGCAUCACCAAGCACAGGCGACAUAUCAAGAUUUCUAGCAGGAGGUGGUGUCGCAAACUUACUCAUAACUGAAGGUGAAUCAAGAGCAGAGCUAGAUGGCAGUUCCUCACCUGUCCUCGUAGUUGAGGGCAAGACUUUAGUUCUUGGAUCUUUCCGAUUCCUCAUAGUGACCAGCAGACGUAAAUCUCAAGUGACUCAGCAAAUAUAGAUGUGCUUCCCCGGCAACGGUGCCAUAAAAUAGGCACGUUAACGGGAGACUAUUCUUAACUUUGGCUUCCCCGGCAAUGGUGCCAGAAAAUAGUCUUGAUAACCCACAAGUAUAGGGGAUCGCAAAAGUUUUCGAGGGUAGAGUAUUCAACCCAAAUUUAUUGAUUCGACUCAAGGGGAAGCCAAAGAAUAUUUUCAAGUAUUAGUAGUUGAGUUGUUAAUUCAACCACACCUAAAAUAUUUAGUAUCUGCAGCAAAGUAUCAGUAGCAGAGUAGUGUGAUAGCAGCAGUAGCAACAGUAACCAGUAGCAGCAAAGUAACAGAAGUAGAGACAGCAGUAGCAGCAAAGUAACGUAGCAAGGACCAGUAGUAAAAGACUCAUAGGCAUUGGAUCGGUGAUGGAUUAUUAUGCCGGAUGCUAUUCAUCAUGCAACAGUGAUAACACGGAGAGAUAUGUAACUAGCUCCAGUUUGUCAAUGUAAUGUAGGCAUGUAUUCUGUAUGUAGUCAUACGUGCUUAGGGAAAAGAACUUGCAUGACAUCUAUUGUCCAUCCCUCCUGUGGCAGCGGGGUCCUAAUGGAAACUACGGGAUAUUAAGGUUCUCCUUUUAAUAAAGAACCGGACCAACGCAUUAACACUUGGUGAAUACAUGAACUCCUCAUACUAUGGUCAUCUCCAGGAGUGGUUCCGUCUAUUGUCACUCCGGGGUUGCCGGGUCAUAACACAUAGUAGGUGACUACGACUUGCAAGAUAGGAUCAAGAACACACAUAUAUUGGCGACAACAUAAUAGGUUCGGAUCUGAAAUCAUGGCAGUCGGGCCCUAGUGACAAGCAUUAAGCAUGGCAAAGUAGUAGCAACAUCAAUCUCAGAACAUAGUGGAUACUAGGGAUCAAUCCCCGUCAAAACUAACUCGAUUACAUGAUAGAUCUCAUCCAACCCAUCACCGUCCAGCAAGCCUACGAUGAGAUUACUCACGAACGGUGAAGAGCAUCAUGGAAUUGGCGAUGAAGGAAGGUUGAUGAUGACGAUGGCGACGAUUUCCCCUCUCCGGAGCCAAGAACGGACUCCAGAUCUGCCCUCCAGAUGAAGAACAGGAGGUGGCGGCGCCUCCGUAUCGUAAAACGCGAUGAACUCUUCUCCUUAUUUUUUCCCGGGCGAAACGGACUAAGUAGAGCUGGACUUGGAGGGGUGGAGUUUUGUGGGCCCCACAAGCCUGCCAGGCGUGGCCAGGGGGCCCGCGCCUGGUGGGCUUGUGGGCUCCACGCUCCACUUCCUCCGCUGAUUCUUGCGCCAGUAUUUUUUAUAUAUUCCACAAAAACUCUCCGUAAAUUUUCAGGUCAUUCCGAGAACUUUUAUUUCUGCGCAAAAACAACACCAUGGCAAUUCUGCUGAAAACAGCGUUAGUCCGGGUUAGUUCCAUUCAAAUCAUGCAAAUUAGAGUCCAAAACAAGGGCAAAAGAGUUUGGAAAAGUAGAUACGAUGGAGACGUAUCAAUGAUGUAAGGAAAUAAAAUUUUGGUAUUCCUUUAUUAACACAUAAACAAUCAUCAUCCUUUGAGUAAUCCUGUGAAGAAGGAACUCGUCUAGUCGGUAGUACCAUAUGAUUCACGACUAUUUCUAGUCAUAGAGUGACUUAUGAAGUUUUACACAAUACAUGUUGCGAUUUGUUUUUGUAUUUAGAAAUGAAGCCCUUUAGGGACUUCAAUAUAGAUUUCCGAAAUGAGUGACUCAUAUGAGUAUGUAUUCACUGCAUCCAUUCACUGCAUGGAUAAUAUUAUUUGUACUGCUAGUGGUAUUUAUUAUCGAAACAUAUUUCCACUCAUACCAAGAAGGUAUGUUACAUAAUAAUCAAUGUCGAGUCUCUGCGUGAACCCUUUUGCUACAAGUCUCGCUUUCUCACCACCUCAUUUACUUUGUCUAUGAAUAAGAAGUUUUAGUAUUCUAUAAGAAAGAUACUUAUGUGGAGUAGGUAUUACUGUGGUAAAUACCACUCGUUUGCAGAGCGAGUGCUAUUCUUCAUUACUUGCUUCCUUUUACGUGAACCAAUAUGAGUACAAGAGGCACUCUACCAUGGAUUUUGGUUCAGGGCCCAAAAGGUUUUAGCAAUUUUGAGAAGAAAUAUAUGUCGACAAAUGUAGACUUAUGUUAUAUGAUUCUGGAGGAAUCAAUGAAAUUUGUGGAAAUGUAUUUAUUCCUUUUAACUCCUUGUGAUUUCUGACAACAAUGGAGUCAAUGUGUUUCGAUGUCCCGACACCAAAACAUUUGUGCACAUUUAUGUCGGGCUUUGGAUGAUGAGCAUCUAGUGAGGUGUCUUUGAACUUGAUGUUGAAUUACAUUUACUGGUUGAGGAUUUGAUUUCCUCUAUUUCUGUGGAAGCAUAUGCGAGAUUAUAUCUCGUGUGGUCAGAUUUCUCCCGCUAUUUCUCUCAUUUCGGGAGAAGAGUGGGUUAUCAAGUACCUCCACUCGUUCUCACACUUUACUGCAGGAAUAUAAUUGAGUAACACCUUUGUCAUCAGUAAAUGUAUGUGGCAGAUUUGCAAUGUGUUGCAAAUAUGUGAUUCUAAACUUCUUGUUGAGAUUCUUUGAGUACGUGGAUAUAAGUACUAAAUGUGAAUAACAUUUCUAAUUUAUUUCUUGGCAUUUAUUGUGGUACUAAUCUCCCCCUAAUGCCAGAAAUGUCCUUAUUGUUGAUGCAAUCAACAUGCGGGCUAUGAAUAAUUUUGAUUGACGGAUAAAUUUUUAUUCCUCACAUAGAUCCCUAAUUUUUUUGUGAGAGCCCAUUGAUGUAUGCUGGAGUGGUGAUAUUGGUAUGUAACCGAAUUAUCGCAGAUAGGAACAACUUUGUUGAUUGCCACAUAAUUACUACAAGGAGAAAGUAGUAUGCUAUGCAGUUGGUAUGAUUUAUAUCAUACUUACAGUGUGUAAUGCCGUAUUUGUCUAGCAUGAGGCUUGUAAAUUACAAUUCUAUAAGUUUGGUCAUAUUAUUAAUUUCACUAUAUUUGAUAAGAUAUUUAACUAAACCAUUCUCGGUAUGUACAUAAAGUAUUAUGUAUAAUCAGACAUUGCUUGUGAAAUGAGUUCAACGAAGUUGUCCAUUCGAAUGGAUUUAUCCCUUGUUUAGGAUAACUUGCUCUUACUUUGAGAAUUUGAGAAAUUAAUUUAGUUAUAUCAUUCAUGGUUUUGUGUGACAAGAGACACACUUGAAAUCAUUUUAUAAAUGUUUCCAUGAGUACCAUAAUGGUAUAUAUAUAAUACCACAUAAUGGUUGAGUAAUCCACAUAUCUUCUGAAUGUGUUCAAGGAAGAAUGAAUUGGCUCAUUUAGAAUUGUAAGGUGAGAGUUCCUUAAAUUAAUUUCCCCUAUAGCACAUGUGGUGCACAUAAAAUCUGAUGAUUUGGGAAACUUUGCAACUUGUUAAGUUGUGACCAAUAGAAUUGUCAAUAAUUUUCUAAUCAACCCCAAACCAGGAUUGUAAGGCUUAAAGCCAAAUAUUUUGUAAUAUUUAGAAAAUUAUUUUUCACGCAACAAAACUGAGUAUGAAUUGAUUCAUACAUUCAAAAUUUAUCAAAUAUAAUGUCCAAGAAAUAGGAUAUUGGACAUUUAUACUACAUGUAGUAGUACAACUAUAGGAAAACAAUAUUUUGGGAAUAAUCGGGAUAUUACAUGAGGUCUCCCAUAUUACUGAAAAAUGAAUUAUGCAAACAUAUCAUAGGCGCAAAUGAAUUGAUCAUUCCUUUAUUGCACUAUAUUUUUGGUUCUCCUUCUGAUGAAGAUUCGAGAACAUCAUUUACCAGAAUAGUUUUUGGUCGUAUGUUUGCAGAUUUUCAAAUACCCCAAUGAGCUUAUUUGCCUUUUAAUAAACUCAUGGUGUGGUUUGACCAUUGAUACGUCUCCAACGUAUCUAUAAUUUUUUACGGUUCCAUGCUAUUAUCUUGUCAACUUUGGAUGUUUUGUAUGCAUGAAUAUGCUAUUUUAUAUCUUUUUUGGGACUAACCUAUUAACUCAGUGCCAAGUGCCAAUUUCUGUUUUUCCGUGUUUUUGACCUUUUUCAGAGAAGAAUAUUAAACGGAGUCCAAACGGAAUAAAACCUGCGGAAUGAUUUUUUCCAUAACAGAAGAUACGCACGGGACUUGAGAACCAAGGCAAAGGACCCCGGGGGAGGUCACAAGCCCCCUAGCCGCGACCUCGGAGGCGCGCCUAGUAGGCUUGUGGGCCCCCCGUGGCUCCUUUGCCCUACUUCUUCCGCCUAUAAAUUCUCUAAAAAUCCAAAACCACCAGAGAGAUCCAUGAAAAUACUUUUCCGCCGCCGCAAGCUUCUAUCUCCGCAAGAUCCCAUCUAGGGACCGUUCUGGUGCCCUCCGGAGGGGGAUUCGGACACGGAGGGCUUCUUCAUCAACACCAUUGCCUCUCAGAUGAUGCGUGAGUAGUUCACCACAGACCUUCGGGUCCAUAGCUUGUAGCUAGAUGGCUUCUUCUCUCUCUUGGAUCUUCAAUACAAAGUUCUCCAUGAUCUUCAUGGAGAUCUAUCCGAUGUAACCUUCUUUUGCGGUGUGUUUGUCGAGAUCCGAUGAAUUGUGGAUUUAUGAUCAGAUUAUCUAUGAAUAUUAUUUGAGUCUCCUCUGAUCUCUUAUAUGCAUGAUUUCCUAUCCUUGUAAUUUUCUUCGAGUUGUGGGUUUCGUUUGGCCAACUUGAUCUAUAAUUCUUGCAAUGGGAGAAGUGCUUGGUUUCGGGUUCAUACCAUGCGGUGUCCUAAACUAGUGACAGAAGGGGUAGCGAGGCAUGCAUCGUGUUGUUGCCAUCAAGGGUAAAAAGAUGGGGUUUAUAUCUAUUUCAUGAAUUUGUCCCUCUACAUCAUGCCAUCUUGCUUAAGGCGUUACUCUGUUUGUUAUGAACUCAAUACACUAGAUGCAUGCUGGAUAACAGUCGAUGUGUGGAGUAAUAGUAGUAGAUGCAGACAGUAUCGGUAUACUUGUCUCGGACGUGAUGCCUAUAUGUAUGAUCAUUGCCUUAGAUAUCAUCAUCACUUUGCGCGAUUCUAUCAAUUGCUCGACAGUAAUUCGUUCACCCACUGUAAUACUUGCUAUCAUGAGAGAAGCCUCUAGUGAACACUAUGGCCCCCGGAUCUACUUCACAUCGUAUUUUCCGAUCUACACUUUUACUUUGUUGCACUUUCCACCUUCAGAUCUCACCUUGCAAAUAAUCGUGAAGGGAUUGACAACCCCUUUAUAGCGUUGGGUGCAAGUUUGUUUGUUUUUGCGCAGGUACAUUGGUGCCUCAUCUUGAUACUCCUACUGGAUUUAUACCUUGGUUCUCAAACUGAGGAAAAUACUUACUGCUACUGUGCUCAUCACCCUUUCCUCUUCAAGGGAAAAAACAAUGCAAGCUCAAGAGGUAGCAAGAAGAAUUUCUGGCACCGUUGCCGUGGAGGAUCAAGUCAAGAAUAGUCUCCCGUCAACGUGCCAAUUUCUGGCGCCGUUGCCAGGGAGGAUCAAGUCAAGAAUAGUCUCCCGUCAACGUGCCAAUUUCUGGCGCCGUUGCCGGGGAGUAUUCAAAGUGAAGCAUAUCCAAGUAACUAUCACAAACUCAUCUCUUGCAUUUACAUUAUUUGCCUUUUGCCUCUCGUUUUCCUCUCCCCCACUUCUGAGAAAACAAAAAUUACAAAAAUAUUUGCCUUUUUCGUUCGCCCUUUUCUUUCGCUUGCUUUCUGUUUGCUUGUGUGCUUGUCUACCUGCUAAGACCUGUAUGGCCGAACCGAAUGAUUAUGAUGCUUACUAUAAAAGGUUGGAAGAGAUUGAAACUAAUGUUAAAGGCUUCAUGUCUACACAGUUUGAUCAUAAUAGUUACUAUCGUAGAGAACUAAGGGAGCAAAAUUCUUUUAUGGCUCUUUAUGAAUAAAAAAGUUGAUGAUAUGGCCAAAGAAUUCCUUGUGUUAAAUUCUCAAUUUGCUCGUCUUGAGAAAUUGGUAGGCCAAAUUUCUCAUAAACAAGCUCCUUAGUCAAUAAAAUGGCUGCUAAACCCGAAAUAUGUGAUGAGAAUCACGAAGAUCUUAAAGUGCUUGGUGUGACUCCUAUUGAAUCCUUGUUUUCUAAUGUCAAACCUAAUGAUGAUGGGGCUGGAUAUGAAUCCACUUUGGUUGAGAAACGCCCCAAUGAUUCAGAGUCUAUCUAUCUUGAUGCUAAAAGCACUGAAAGUGGAGUAGAGGAUAUCAAAACUUUGAAUAGUGAUGAAAUUACUACUUUGGAUUUCAAGGAAUUCAAUUAUGAUAGUUGCUAUUUUAUUGAAUGUAUUUCCUUGAUGCAAUCUAUGCUAAACUCUCCACAUGCUUAUAGCCAAAACAAGGCUUUUACUUAUCAUAUCGUCGAUGCUAUGAUGAAAUCUCUUGAAGAGAAACUUGAGUUGGAGAUAUCUGUUCCUAGAAAACUUCAUGAUGAGUGGGAACAUACUAUCAAAAUCAAGAUUAAAAACUAUGAGUGCAAUGCUUUGUGUGAUUUGGGUGCUAGUGUUUCCGCUAUUCCAAAGUCUUUAUGUGAUGUUCUAGGCUUCAAUGAGAUUGAUGAGUGCUCUCUUAAUCUGCAUCUUGUGGAUUCUACUAUUAAGAAACCUAUGGGAAGGAUCAAUGAUGUUCUUGUUAUUGCAAAUAGGAACUAUGUACCCGUAUAUUUCAUUGUGCUUGAUAUUGAUUGCAAUCCGACAUGUCCCAUCAUUCUUGGUAGACCUUUCCUUAGGACUAUUGGUGCUAUCAUCGAUAUGAAGGAACGGAAUAUUAGAUUUCAAUUUCCAUUAAAGAAGGGCAUGGAACACUUUCCUAGAAAGAAAAUAAGAUUGCCUUAUGAAUCCAUGAUGAGGGCGACUUAUGGUUUGAGCAUCAAAGACGACGAUACUUGAUUCUAUAGACUUAUGCCUAGCUAAGGGCGUUAAACAAUAGCGCUUGUUGGGAGUCAACCCAAUGAAUUUAUAUUUGCAUUUUGCUUUCUGUUUUGUUGUGUCCACACCAUCAUAAUUCUGUUAUGAUUGUGUUUUUUGUGUUUCUUUUUGUGCUUGUGCCAAGUAAAACCUUUAUGACUAGUUUUGGUGAUGGUUGUUUGAUCAUGCCGACAAAGACAGAAACUUUGUGCUCACGAAAUUAUUUUUAAUUUCUAUCCAGAAAGAACUUAUGAGUUGAUUCUUUUUGCUGCUGGUUGAUAUGCAAAUUUCCCUAAUUUUCAUAAUUGUUCCGAAUUUUUGAGAUAACAGAAGUAUACAGAUUGCUACAGACUGGUCUGUUUUUGACAUAUUCUGUUUUUGUUGUGUUGAUUGCUUAUUUUGAUGAAGCUAUGGAUAGUAUAGGGGGGUACUAGUCAUGGGAAAGUGAGAAUACAGUAAUCUAACAUCAAUCUAAAAUAGAAAUCAAGUUUACUACAGUACCUAAAGAGUUGGUAGUUUGUUUUCUUAUGCUAAUGAUAUCACGAGUUUCUGUUUAAGUUUUGUGUUUUGAAGUUUUCAAGUUUUGGGUGAUGUUCUCAUGGACAAUGGGAUAAAGAGUGGAAAGCGCUCAAGCUUGGGGAUGCCCAAGGCAUCCCAAGCCAAAUUCAAGGACACAAAAAAGCCUAAUCUUAGGGAUGCCCCGGGAAGGCAUCCCCUCUUUCGUCUUCAAUCCAUAGGUAACGUUACUUGGAGCUAUAUUUUUAUUCACCACAUGAUAUGUGUUUUCUUGGAGCGUCGUGUAUUAUAGGAGUCUUUUAUUUUGGUUUUGUCACAAUCAUCCUUGCUGCACACCUUUUUGAGAGAGACAUGCACUCAUCGUGAAUUUGCUAGAAUACUCAUUGAGCUUCAUGUGACAGCCCGAUGCCGGCGUUCGAGAAGAUUCCCCUUCUAUUCCGUUUUCGUCGUGUGUCUAUUUUAAUUUUGUUGCACCAUCAUCGCAUCAUGCCCAUCAUCUGCAUUGCAUCGGCAUCUCCGUGCCGCCAGUUUUCAAAAGUUGCAUCUGUUGUUAGUUGCCGGUUCGCGUCGUUGUCCGUUCUGAGCCCGACCGCACACGCACGCGCCCGCGGCAUCGUCAAAACCGUGUUUUAAAAGUGUGUUGAAAACUUUCUCUGAUCGAGGUGAAACUUGGCAUGCUGUCGUGAUUAGUUAUAGCUAGGCCGCCUGUCGAAUUUUGUCGCGAUCGGAGUCCGUCUGGUACCGAAACGGUCGACCGUAGCGGCACCGUAUUCGGUCUACCGUCGGAUGGUUGUCGGUGUUUUAAAAAUCGUUGCCGCGCCGCCCGUUCUCCCUCUCGUCUCCGGAUAACCAACCUACAUGGCCAUUUAGUCUGUCCCAUGUUCGGAAUUACUCGAAUCCGACCGCUAAACCUAGCCCCCCAUUGUUAUAAAUAGGAACCCAUGCCAUUUUUGGACAACCUCUCUCUCUCCCUCGUUUUCCGUGCAAACCCUAGACCCGCCUCCUGAUCCGCGCCCCAGCCAGCCUCCACCCACCUCCUGAGCCCCGGAUCUGAUCCAGCCUAGCUCACCUGAUCUGGGCCGUCGAAUCUCGGAUCCAACGGCCCAGGGCGCCUCCCUCCUCCUGCCCGAGAUCCCUGCCAUGGCAGCGCCUCCCCUGCCGAGCAGCCCACGCGCCUUCCCCCGUCGCCGGCCGGUGCGCCCCUGCUGCCCGCCGUCCUCCNNNNNNNNNNNNNNNNNNNNNNNNNNNCACGAGGCCCAGUGUGCUGCAGCCUCCGGUCGGCCCAAGAGGCCCCCCCAAGGUGAGCCCCGUGUACUCUAUUCCCUGCACCCUGCGCUGGAUAGUAUUCUGCGCCCAUGUGUCGGCCCAUUAGCUAUUUAGAUUUUUGGAAUUAAUAUAAAUUCCAAAAAAAUAGGUAAAUAUUAAAACGUCCGUAACUUUUAUUCCGUUAGUCGGUUCGCGACGUGUAGUAUAUGGUUUUCGUGUAGUUUCUCGCGUAGGAUAUGAUUUCACAACUUGCAUAUUUGUUUGACGUUGUUUAGCGAGUUGUUUGCCUAGAAACACGUGAUGUCCUAUCAUGUUUGCGUCCCGUAUUUAUUUUUCGCGCGUGUCCGGUUUGCCCGAAUGCCUUAGAUAAAAUGUUCAUGCUCCAGGGACCCAUUUGCCAUGUAUUUUAGAGUAGCCGACGGUAUUUUCGCACGUAGGGAUUUGCCGCUAGAUUAUUUUCCGUGUUUAGGACGUUAUCUCGCAUUUACGUGCGGUGAUAUUUUUGUGUUGCAACCCCACAUGUUUUAUAUGCUUUCGGGCUAGAAAAAUCCAUAGGAUUUUUUGUGCAAUUAGUUUUAGCUUUUGAGUAAGUUAGUUCGCGCGAUAUUUUUUCCAUGUUACCCUUUUGUCUUUUUCGUAGGAUUUGUUCCGUGCUUCGUUUGAUUAAUUCGUCAACUAGAGAGUUGUUCUUUGAUGUUUAGUCUAGCCCCUGGUAUUUUUGGUGGCAAUAGAAAUGCAUGUUUAGGUGUGGUUUGCUUGCUCUCAAGUUGCUAGAAAUAGUGCUCAUUUGGAGGUGCUGAAAUAUUUUUAAGUCUGGAUUCUGUUAUAUUUUGUUGCUGUUUUGUUUUGCUUAUAUCUUGUGAUCUGUAGCUCUUUUGAGGUUGGUCCAAUGGAGUUAGUUGUAAACCUUGUGUUUAUCUAGCAUGCUGUGAAUUUUCAUGCCAUUUGGAGUCCUGUAGCUUAUGGUUUUGCUGCUGUCAAUAUGGCUUCAGAUCGAAAACUGCACUUUCAUGAAGUGUAAUUUUCACCAAGUCUGAAACUGUGUGUGAGAAGCCAUUUUGUGACUUCUUUUCCUAGUAUUCCAUGAUGCCAUGCUAGUUGUUGUUAGUUGUUUGUUGUAGUGCUUCUUGCCCUCUUUCGUGACAUGCCUUGGUUGAUUAUAUUUGAGUUGUGUAGCUCGUAGUUGUGGGGUGUAGAGAAUGCUAUGUGGCUGAUUUUGGCAGAUUGUAGUGAAUUCUUGUUUUGCUCGUAGUUGUUGAACCGUAGUUCCGAUUUGAUCGUGUCCCAUAUGAAACUUGCUUAGAAUAUCGUGUAGUUUCAUUUUAUCUUGCUGGUUGUAUGUUUUGAAGUGCUCGUGACCGUCGUUGCACACAUAUUGCAUUCAUGCCAUCAUAUCUUGCGGUGCUUGUAAGUUUUGAACCGUAGCUCCGUUGGAGAUGAUCUCUAUGUGUAAAUUGCUUGUAAAGACACGUAGAAUCACGUGAACCUAUUUGUUUUUUGUUUAACAACCAAUUAAAUGUGUUAGUUCAGAUCUGGACAGAAUUGUAAAUUAACCUAUGAGGCCGUUUCGGAGGUGCUAUAUGUCAUUUCCGACCUCAUUUAAAAUGCCUAGAUAGGUAGAUUAAUUGUGCUUCAUCUCUUGCCAUGUUUAACCACAUUUAAUAUUGCCGUGUACCUAAUCGGGAUAGAACUAAAUAAUUAAACGUGGAGUUUCAUCAAUAUGCAACUUGUUGCAUAUUGAACUUCACUUAAUGUGUAGUGUUUGUUUGUGUAUAUUGUCAUGCUGUGACUUGCAUGUAUUCAGCUACUCAUCCAUCAUAUGUGUUGUGCAUCGUGUCGUGAAUUCCGUGUGUUGAUUUGUGUUUCCGGUUUGCUUCGUCUCGUUAGAGUUCCGCAGCGUGUCGGAUUGUGAGGACCCGUUCGACUACGUCGGUUCGUCUGCUUCACGGAGUCAUUCUUCUUCCAAGCGGGAUCUCAGGCAAGAUGACCAUUUCCCCUGAUACCAUUACUAUCAUUGCCAUGCUAGUUUUAUCGCUUCUAACGUUAUGUCUCGUUGCCUACCACAUGUUUACAUAUCAGCCUCUCAACAAUGCCAUGAUAACCUUCAACCUAUUCGACCUAGCAAACCACUGAUUGGCUAUGUUACCGCUUGCUUAUCCAUGUUGUUAGCGUUGCUAGUUGAAGGUGUAGUUGCUUCCAUGUGAUAACAUGGGUUCAUUGUUAUAUCACCCUAUUUAAUGUUAUUUAAAUUUAACGCACCUAUAUACUUGGUAAAAGGUAGAAGGCUCGGCCUUUCUAGCCUGGUGUUUUGUUCCUCCUUUGCCCCCUUAGUUUCCGGCUACCGGUGUUAUGUUCCAUAAAUGAGCGCUCUUAACACGAUCGGGGUUGUUAUGGGGACCCCCUUGAUAAUUCAUUUUAGAUUAAAGCUGGUCUGGCAAGGCCCAACAUUGGUACUACAUUUGCCUAAUCACCUAAUAAAAUUGCAUAGGGACUUUCCGGACCCCGAGGAUAAUUUAAUCAACCCCCGGGCCAGUGCUCCUCAUGAGUGUUGGUCCAAAACAGAGCAGCUUAUUAAUGCUACCCGGGGCAACUCGAUGUUUGGCGUGGUAACCAUCGCUCAUCCGUCGUGUCCUGAGAACGAGAUACGCGGCUCCUAUCGGGAUCGUCGAAACGUCGGGCGGCCUUGCUAGAUUAGUUUUACCUUUGAUGAAAUAUCUUGUGCAUCGGGAUUCCGGUGAUUCUUUGGGUAAUCUCAGAGUUGAGGUUUUCCACUAAGAAAUCCGACGAGAUCGUAAGUGUCGUGAUUGAGGAUUUCUAUGCGGCUUGUGGUAAUUUGUGAUGGACUAGUUGGAGCACCCCUGCAGGGUUAAAUCUUUCAGAAAGUCGUGCCCGCGGUUAUGUGGCAACGUGGAAACUUUGUUUAACACUGAUUCUAGAUAACUUGAAGUUAACUUAAGUAAAAUAUGCCAACUGUGUGCGUAACCGUGACUGUCUCUUUCGUGAGUUCCUUCUCCGAUCAAGGACACGGUGGGGUUAUGUCUGAUGUAGGUAGGUGUUCAGGAUCAUUUAUUUGGUCAUCAGUAGUUCACGUCCGUUACGUGUAGAUCUUCCCCCUCUUGUACUCGUAAGUUUAGCCACCCAAAUAUAUGCUUAGCCGCUGCUGCAACCUCACCACUUAACCAUACCGCACCCACUAAGCUUUGCUAGUCUUGAUACCUUUGGAAAUGAGAUUGUUGAGUCCCAUGUGGCUCACAGUUUACUACAACACCAGUUGCAGGUACAGGUAAAGGUUAAUUGACGCGAGUGCGUUGAUUGUUCAUUUGGAGUUGCUUCUUCUUCUUCAUGAUCGAUCUAGGAUGGGUUCCAGGCCGGCAGCCUGGGAUAGCAAGGAUGGACGUCGUUCUUCUUUUCUCGUUUGUUUUCGUCCGUAGUCGAACCCUGCUCUUCUUCAUGAUGAUUAUGUAUUGUACUGUUGUGACUCUGAUGUAGCUUGUGGCGAGUGUAAGCCAAUUCUAUAUAUAUCUCUUCUUUUCAGUACCUGUACUUGUAACGAUAUUCAUUCUUGCGACACGACGAGAUGCGCUUCUAUCCCUGACGAGGCCUUCGUUUCGAAUUGAGGAUAGGGUCGCAUCUUGGGCGUGACAAGUUGGUAUCAGAGCAGUACCGACCUAGGAGCCCCCUUGAUUGAUCGAACUUGGCCGAGUCGAGUGUAGUGAAAAACUGCUUUGAGUCUAGUUAUAUAUCGAAGAGUAGGAUUAUUUUUUCUCCUCGUUUAUGCUCUGGUGAGCAAUCUUGACGUAAUAAUUUAUUCUACUCCUCUUCUCACUCAAAAAAAAAUUAGGAUCACGUGGAUAUUUUUGGAAUCUAUAUGAUGCCGAUGUGACGGAGUUCUGUCUUGGUGCCUCCUGUCUGACUUGAUUUUCUUCCGAGGAGUUGAGCUCCAGGGGAUUCUUGAGCACAUUGUUAUCAUUCAGAUUUCUUAGUAUCUUAGAACGAAGGAUGUUCGUAAUUGCUUCAAUACUAGUAGUGGCGAGAUAACCCCGAUGUCCCCAGUACUGGUGCAGAUUGUUCGGGAGUACUGCCAUACUUUGUAUCGUUGUGAUCACGAGGGUCUGUUGUAGAUGAAGGUCCGAGAUUCUGGUUGUGUGUUGACGGAUGUGAUACAGGUGAUGGGUUAGUAUAGGAGUUGUGUGAUUAUUACUCCUUGUAUCCGUGUACUAGAUUGCAUGACCAGAUAUUUCGGGAAUUCUAAGGUGGGAAUUCAAGUAGUUUCUUAUAGGACAAUCUUCCAACAAAUGCAUGAUGUUAGGUUGGGGUUCGACAUCUAGUGGAUUCGUUUGUUCACGGUCGACUUACAGCGGUACACGUUGUGUCUUAAAGAGUCCUUGUAGCUUGCUACGACUCGAGGACGCUUCAUAUGUCGGGUGCACUGCCUUGAACUUGAUGUCUACUGUAAGGAUCGAGCCCGUGCGAUCUUGUCCACGAAAAUAUCGGACAAAAUAUUUCUCAUGAGUUUGUUCUGGCUUGUUUCAUAAGCCUCACCCUUUGUUUUGUUGGAAUAUGGUAAUUCAAGUUGCUCCGAUGUCAAGUGGUGAUUUCAGAUCUUUCCUAAGAGGUGUUCUCAUAUUUUUAUGUGAAUGCAAAUUCUUUUCUCAAUCAAUCGUCUUAUCAAUUCUUGUUACCGGAGUUGUUUUGUGCCAAUUCUUUUCAACCGGUGUAUUUCUCUACAGUGAAUUCAAUCCUCUCCAAUUUUGCAAGAUCAUUCUCUUUUUUUAUUCUGGAGUUCAUCUCAUCUAUCCCAAGUUGUCCUUUUUUUCCCCGCCCUCCCGCCCUUUUUCUUCAGUGAUUGGAUUUCAUCCAAGUGCAUUUCGUUCCAGUGAUACUUCCGCUAUCUUUUCUUCCGUGUCCUAUCCGGUGAUUCAUUGUGAAGAUUCUCACGAGCUUCGUCUUCAUCUUUCUUCAGUAUUGUUAUCUUUUCCCGGUGAAUUCAAUUUAAUUAUCCUUGUUCUUUAUAUCCUAUUCAUCCUUGUAAAAAAAGUUCUAUGUUGGAGAUUCUUAUCAGCCUAUCUUGUUAUUCAUUUCUCUCUAGUCUAUCUGGAGUGCUGAAGUUAUCUCAGAAAUUCUUGUUUUCAAUUCUUUCAUUUAUUCCGAGGUUUAAUCUCAUCUAUUCUUCAUUUGUACCGGUGCAAUAUCUAUCUUUCUUUCAAUCUUUUCAAUGGUGGUUCCUUUUAGUGGGCUCAUAACCCACAGGUUCUUUCCCAGGAUCUUUCUUGGCUCUUUUAAUCUUUUUCUGGAGAUCUCUAAAUCUUUUCAACUAUGACGUAAGUAUGAAUUUCAUCAGUCAUAUUCCUUCUUCAAGUUCAAUUUGAAUUAGUUCUCAUAUUUGGCUCAACCUUUGAUUCUUCAUUAUUCCGGAGUGUCUCGGUAUUCUUGGUGUUGUUUCUCGUCAUCAUUCUCAGCUUGCAAAUUCGAAGGAGUGUUUCUCUUAAUAUUGGUUCAUUCUCUUGGAGAUUCGUCAUUUCAGCUUGGUGCCAUCAUCUUAAUUGUCCCAAUCAUGUGUAAUCCCUUUUCUUGCUACCCGAUGCUUUUCUGAGUUGUUUUCAUUCUCGAUCCUUUGAAGGCCAUCAUCCAGAAGAUUUUGUUCAUUCUCAGCUUGCAGCUUUCAUUCUCAAAUUCUUCUCCAUUGUUGUCUGUUCGUUCGUCUCUCGUUUAUCUGGUGCCUUGUUCUAGUGUUCUCUCAGGUGGCUUAUGAUGUCACGCCCAAGAUGCGACCCUAUCCUCAAUUUGGCACGAGGGCUUCGUCAGGGAUAGAAGCGCAUCUUGUCGUGUCGCGAGAAUGGAUAUCGUUACAAGUACAUGUACUGAAAAUAAGAGAUAUAUAAUAGAAUUGGCUUACACUCGCCACAAGCUACAUCAGAGUCACAUCAGUACAUUACAUAAUCAUCAAGAGUAAGAGCAGGGUCCGACUACGGACGAAAACAAACGACAAAAGAAGAACGACGUCCAUCCUUGCUCUCCCAGGCUGCCGGCCUGGAACCCAUCCUAGAUCGAUGAAGAAGAAGCAACUCCAAAUGAACAAUCAACGCGCUCGCGUCAAGUAACCUUUACCUGCACCUACAACUGGUGUUGUAGUAAUCUGUGAGCCACGGGGGACUCAGCAAUCUCGUUUCCAAAGAUAUCAAGACUAGCAAAGCUUAAUGGGUGAGGUAUGGUUAAGUGGUGAGGUUGCAGCAGCGGCUAAGCAUAUAUUUGGUGGCUAACUUACGAGUACAAGAAAUAAGAGGGGGAAGAUCUACGCAUUACGGACGUGAACUACUGUUGAUCAAAUGAAUGAUCCUAAACACCUACCUACGUCAGACAUAACCCCACCGUGUCCUCGAUCGGAGAAGGAACUCACGAAAGAGACAGUCACGGUUACGCACACAGUUGGCAUGUUUUAAUUAAGUUAACUUCAAGUUAUCUAGAACCAGUGUUAAACAAAGCUUCCACGUUGCCACAUAACCGCGGGCACGGCUUUCCGAAAGAUUUAACCCUGCAGGGGUGCUCCAACUAGUCCAUCACAAAUUACCACAAGCCGCAUAGAAAUCCUCAAUCACGAAGCUCGCGAUCUCGUCGGAUUCCCUAGUGGAAAACCUCAACUCUGAGAUUACCCAAAGCAUCACCGGAAUCCCGAUGAACAAGAUAUCUCGUCAAAGGUAAAAAUAAUCCAGCAAGGCCACCCGGUGUGUCGACGAACCCGAUAGGAGCCGCGUAUCUCGUUCUCAGGACACACCGUCUAUGCAUAGUGGACGGUAGCCAAACCUCGAGUUGCCCCGAGGUGGCACCGCUGACUGCUAGGUGGGUGGACCAACACUCAUGCGGAGCACUAGCCCGGGGGGUUGAUUAAAUUAUCCUCGGGGUCCGGAAAUUCCCAAUGCAAUUUUAUUAGGUGAUUAGGCAAAUGUAGUACCAAUGUUGGGCCUUGCCAGACCAGCUUUAAUCUAAAACGAAUUAUCAAGGGGGUCCCCAUAACAACCCCGAUCGUGUUAGGAGCGCUCAUUUAUGGAACAUAACACCGGUAGCCGGAAACUAAGGGGGCAAAGGUGGAACAAAACACCNGCUCGCGAUCUCGUCGGAUUCCCUAGUGGAAAACCUCAACUCUGAGAUUACCCAAAGCAUCACCGGAAUCCCGAUGAACAAGAUAUCUCGUCAAAGGUAAAAAUAAUCCAGCAAGGCCACCCGGUGUGUCGACGAACCCGAUAGGAGCCGCGUAUCUCGUUCUCAGGACACACCGUCUAUGCAUAGUGGACGGUAGCCAAACCUCGAGUUGCCCCGAGGUGGCACCGCUGACUGCUAGGUGGGUGGACCAACACUCAUGCGGAGCACUAGCCCGGGGGGUUGAUUAAAUUAUCCUCGGGGUCCGGAAAUUCCCAAUGCAAUUUUAUUAGGUGAUUAGGCAAAUGUAGUACCAAUGUUGGGCCUUGCCAGACCAGCUUUAAUCUAAAACGAAUUAUCAAGGGGGUCCCCAUAACAACCCCGAUCGUGUUAGGAGCGCUCAUUUAUGGAACAUAACACCGGUAGCCGGAAACUAAGGGGGCAAAGGUGGAACAAAACACCAGGCUAGAAAGGCCGAGCCUUCCACCUUUUACCAAGUAUAUAGGUGCGUUAAAUUAAAUAGCAUUUAAUAUGGUGAUAUAACAAGGAACCCAUGCUUUCACAUGGAAGCAACUACACCUGCAACUAGCAACGCUAACACAGGGUUAAGCAAGCGGUAACAUAGCCAAUCAGUGGUUUGCUAGGUCGAACAGGUUGAAGGUUAUAAUGGCAUUGUUGAGAGGCUGAUAUUUAACAUGUGGUAGGCAACGAGACAUAAACGAUAGAAGCGGUAAAACUAGCAUGGCAAUGAUAGUAAUGGUAUAUGGGGAAAUGGUCAUCUUGCCUGAGAUCCCGCUUGGAAGAAGAACAACUCCGAGAAGCCGGCGAACCAACGUAGUCGAACGGGUCCUCACAUUUCGACACGCUUGUGGAACUCUAUCGAGACGGAACAAACCGGAAACAAACAUCAACACAGAUAUUCACCACACGAUGCACAACAUGAAGCACAUCCCAAUAUGAUACAUGAACAGGUUAAAAUGCAAGGGAUGGCAUGGCAAUUCACCUCACACAAGCUCUACACAUUAAUUGAAGCUCGAUAUGCAACGGGUUGCAUAUCGACGAAACUCCAUGAUUAAUUAUUUAAUUCACUCCCGAUUAUUUAACACGCAAUAUUAAAUGUUGUUAACAUGGCAAGGGGUGAAGCGAUGAUUCUACCUGACAUACUAGCUGGUUUAACUCGCGGAACAUAGAACGGAGUUACGUCACAAGAAAUAUGCAACACAAUAUAUCAUGCCACGAAUGCAUAAUGCAUACAAGUUCAACCACGGCAAGAAGGGAAAGAAACACAUGUCGUCACGGUGAGCGAGAGGGAACCAUGGCGGAAAAAGGAAAAGAUGCCAGGCAACGUUCCUAUCCCAAUAACUCAUCGAGAUAUCGUGCCAACGUAUAUGAAGCGUGUGCGGGAACGUUAAAUAAAGAAUUGGGUGAUCCCGUAUCUCGGGUUCCCAUGUGUCGAGGCAUGACGAAAGAAGACAACGGGAAACGGGCAACAUAUGGUGCAUACAUACAUAUAUUCAUACAUCACUUGUACACGGUACACGACACGUCUCAUCGGUAUACCUUCGACGCAUGCGAUUCGAAGCGGAUCGGUUCGGAGAAGGAGACCAACGGUCGUCGUGGAAGUCGUGGUCGUCGUGGAAGUAGUCGUACAUGGUCUCGUCGACGGUAGUCGUUCUCUCGGCGUCGGUAGACGAUCUUCGGUGUCGGGAGACGAACACGGUUUACGAGGGUCGUCGCGGACGUCGUUGUCGUCGUGGUACUCGGGUCUUCGGCGUCGUCGAGGACGUCGUGGUAGUCGCCGAUCUUGUCAUCCCCACGGCGGCGGGGAUGGUCUACGCGGCGAUGCAGGCGACACAACAACAUCUAGUGGGUAGCGGCCGACAACAACUACAACAACUCGCUUAGCAGCACGGCAAGCAAGCAUCUAACAGCAAGCCUAGCAACUAGCAAUUAUACUAGCUAUAGCAGCUAGCUCCAUCUAGCAAGAGCAACAACAACUAAGCACAACAGGCAAGCUCAGCAGCAAAACGGCAGCAAGACUCGACAACAGCAACAGGGCAGCAGCGAGCAAGCACAGCAACAGCAACGGGACACAUCAAGCAGCAGCUACAACAGCCUAGCAGCGGCAGCAGCAAGCAACACAACGGCAUGCAUCGGCAAAUAGCAAGCGGCACCAGCUACAGCAAGGCGCAGCAGCAAGGCAACAGCUACAGCAACACGCACGCACAGCAACAGAGCAGCAGGCAGUAGAGCACAGCAGCGGCUUGACAAGGCAGCAGCAAAACGGCAACGCAGUGCGGGGGGAAUCGGCGGCAGGCGGCUCCGGAGGACGGCGGCGUGUAGAGGACGCGGGGCGCGGUGCUCCUGCGGCGGGCGGCGGCAGGGAACCGGCGACCUGGAGGCGGCAACCGGGAGGCCUCGGCGCGGGGCUGCUCGGGCUGGGGCAAGCUGGCGGCGUGCGGAAGAGAGCACGGCGGGGGCGGCACGGCUCGGGAGGAGGAGGCCGGCCAUGGCGCGGCGAGGCCGAGGGAGGAGCAGCUGGAGGGAGAUGGGAGGAGGCUAUGGCGUGAAGGGAACGCUGGGAGGAGGAGAUCGGCCUGGAUACAGAGGGGAUCGAGGCAAGGGGAUCGGGGGCUGACGGCGCACGGGGAGAUGAGGGAGGAGGAGAGGCACGGGCCUUGGCGCUAGGGCAGGGGAGGCCUGGGCCUUGGCCUGGGGUCCUCCCCCUUAGGGUUUUUUUAAACCCUUUUAAAACAGAAAUUUUAAAAUAAAGAAAGGCUUUUAACAAAAAAUAUAUAUAUAAUAAAUGCUUUUGAAUCCUUUGAAAAAAUAUAUAUUCCCAACUACAAGAAAUAGUUGGGCAUUUUUAGAAGAAAUGAAAUAAAACCUUUUGAAGAAUUAAAAUUAAAACCCGUUUACAAAAGAAUAAAAUCAAACCCCUUUUGAAGAAUUAAAUAAAACCUCUUUAUUUAAAGAAUAAAAUAAAAUCCCUUUAAAAGAGAAAAGUAAAUGAGACGGUUUUAAAAUAAAACCAAAGGAGAAAAAUNNNNNNNNNNNNNNNNNNNNNNNNNNNNNNNNNNNNNNNNNNNNNNNNNNNNNNNNNNNNNNNNNNNNNNNNNNNNNNNNNNNNNNNNNNNNNNNNNNNNNNNNNNNNNNNNNNNNNNNNNNNNNNNNNNNNNNNNNNNNNNNNNNNNNNNNNNNNNNNNNNNNNNNNNNNNNNNNNNNNNNNNNNNNNNNNNNNNNNNNNNNNNNNNNNNNNNNNNNNNNNNNNNNNNNNNNNNNNNNNNNNNNNNNNNNNNNNNNNNNNNNNNNNNNNNNNNNNNNNNNNNNNNNNNNNNNNNNNNNNNNNNNNNNNNNNNNNNNNNNNNNNNNNNNNNNNNNNNNNNNNNNNNNNNNNNNNNNNNNNNNNNNNNNNNNNNNNNNNNNNNNNNNNNNNNNNNNNNNNNNNNNNNNNNNNNNNNNNNNNNNNNNNNNNNNNNNNNNNNNNNNNNNNNNNNNNNNNNNNNNNNNNNNNNNNNNNNNNNNNNNNNNNNNNNNNNNNNNNNNNNNNNNNNNNNNNNNNNNNNNNNNNNNNNNNNNNNNNNNNNNNNNNNNNNNNNNNNNNNNNNNNNNNNNNNNNNNNNNNNNNNNNNNNNNNNNNNNNNNNNNNNNNNNNNNNNNNNNNNNNNNNNNNNNNNNNNNNNNNNNNNNNNNNNNNNNNNNNNNNNNNNNNNNNNNNNNNNNNNNNNNNNNNNNNNNNNNNNNNNNNNNNNNNNNNNNNNNNNNNNNNNNNNNNNNNNNNNNNNNNNNNNNNNNNNNNNNNNNNNNNNNNNNNNNNNNNNNNNNNNNNNNNNNNNNNNNNNNNNNNNNNNNNNNNNNNNNNNNNNNNNNNNNNNNNNNNNNNNNNNNNNNNNNNNNNNNNNNNNNNNNNNNNNNNNNNNNNNNNNNNNNNNNNNNNNNNNNNNNNNNNNNNNNNNNNNNNNNNNNNNNNNNNNNNNNNNNNNNNNNNNNNNNNNNNNNNNNNNNNNNNNNNNNNNNNNNNNNNNNNNNNNNNNNNNNNNNNNNNNNNNNNNNNNNNNNNNNNNNNNNNNNNNNNNNNNNNNNNNNNNNNNNNNNNNNNNNNNNNNNNNNNNNNNNNNNNNNNNNNNNNNNNNNNNNNNNNNNNNNNNNNNNNNNNNNNNNNNNNNNNNNNNNNNNNNNNNNNNNNNNNNNNNNNNNNNNNNNNNNNNNNNNNNNNNNNNNNNNNNNNNNNNNNNNNNNNNNNNNNNNNNNNNNNNNNNNNNNNNNNNNNNNNNNNNNNNNNNNNNNNNNNNNNNNNNNNNNNNNNNNNNNNNNNNNNNNNNNNNNNNNNNNNNNNNNNNNNNNNNNNNNNNNNNNNNNNNNNNNNNNNNNNNNNNNNNNNNNNNNNNNNNNNNNNNNNNNNNNNNNNNNNNNNNNNNNNNNNNNNNNNNNNNNNNNNNNNNNNNNNNNNNNNNNNNNNNNNNNNNNNNNNNNNNNNNNNNNNNNNNNNNNNNNNNNNNNNNNNNNNNNNNNNNNNNNNNNNNNNNNNNNNNNNNNNNNNNNNNNNNNNNNNNNNNNNNNNNNNNNNNNNNNNNNNNNNNNNNNNNNNNNNNNNNNNNNNNNNNNNNNNNNNNNNNNNNNNNNNNNNNNNNNNNNNNNNNNNNNNNNNNNNNNNNNNNNNNNNNNNNNNNNNNNNNNNNNNNNNNNNNNNNNNNNNNNNNNNNNNNNNNNNNNNNNNNNNNNNNNNNNNNNNNNNNNNNNNNNNNNNNNNNNNNNNNNNNNNNNNNNNNNNNNNNNNNNNNNNNNNNNNNNNNNNNNNNNNNNNNNNNNNNNNNNNNNNNNNNNNNNNNNNNNNNNNNNNNNNNNNGGGGCAAGCUGGCGGCGUGCGGAAGAGAGCACGGCGGGGGCGGCACGGCUCGGGAGGAGGAGGCCGGCCAUGGCGCGGCGAGGCCGAGGGAGGAGCAGCUGGAGGGAGAUGGGAGGAGGCUAUGGCGUGAAGGGAACGCUGGGAGGAGGAGAUCGGCCUGGAUACAGAGGGGAUCGAGGCAAGGGGAUCGGGGGCUGACGGCGCACGGGGAGAUGAGGGAGGAGGAGAGGCACGGGCCUUGGCGCUAGGGCAGGGGAGGCCUGGGCCUUGGCCUGGGGUCCUCCCCCUUAGGGUUUUUUUAAACCCUUUUAAAACAGAAAUUUUAAAAUAAAGAAAGGCUUUUAACAAAAAAGGGGGGGGGGGGAUAUAUAUAUAAUAAAUGCUUUUGAAUCCUUUGAAAAAAUAUAUAUUCCCAACUACAAGAAAUAGUUGGGCAUUUUUAGAAGAAAUGAAAUAAAACCUUUUGAAGAAUUAAAAUUAAAACCCGUUUACAAAAGAAUAAAAUCAAACCCCUUUUGAAGAAUUAAAUAAAACCUCUUUAUUUAAAGAAUAAAAUAAAAUCCCUUUAAAAGAGAAAAGUAAAUGAGACGGUUUUAAAAUAAAACCAAAGGAGAAAAAUAAAGAAAACCCAAGGGUUGCCCCGGCAUUUAAUAAAAGGACCUUCUUAAAAGAAGACGCCUUUUUUAAAGGGGUUAAAACGGAAACUUAGCAAAACCACAAAAUGAAAUAAGAGGAGAGAGAGGGGGAACUAAUAUCGCUCUACGACUCGGUGAUCGCUCGAAGCACAACACUCAAUACACCACACGCGACAGGCGAUGCAAGAUGCCAUGCAUGAUGCGAUAAUGCAAACUACAUGAUGAUGCAACAAAUAAAACUAAACACACGACGGAAACGGAAAUAAAAGGGGGGAAUCUUCUGGGCGUCGGGCUCGGGCUGUCACAACUCUCCUACACUACAAGAGGAUCUCGCCCCGAGAUCCAAGAAUGAAAGGGGGGAGAGGAUGAGAAAUAAUAAGAGGUAAAACUUAGUCGCUUCUUUGACAAACGAGUGACACCAACAAUCCUUGAAGGUUGCAAAGAGAUGAGGACUUAUAAGAGAAACAAGCAAGAAUUCACGGAAAAUUUCGGCAGCACUUCGAUAGGAAAAAUGGGACAAAAAAUUCGAUAAGAUGGUAGAAUUAGACAAUAUACACAACAAACAAGUAAAUAGAGCAAGGGAACACCAUGUUCUUGAUAGAAGAACAUAAUAGACCCAAAAGAGCAACAACACAAUGCCUCCGGAACAAGAAAAUAUGAACUAGCUCAAGCGGAAGAAGAGAAUGAAGCAAAAUAAUGACAACUAUCAACACAAUAGAAUUGAAGAGCCUCCAGACAGAGAAUUGACUUAGUAGUUGGAAAACCAACAACGAAAAGAACAAGAUAGUAGUGGGCUUAUGGAAACGUUUUCAAACUAAUGAAGUGACAACCAGCCACUAACAGAAACAAGGAUUGUUUGGGAGAAACAAGAUAUGAACAAUUUCUUACACCAAGAGGAUACAUUGAGAACUUGGAUUAAUGACAAGCACCAUGAUAGCAGCAAUCCAUAGGAAAAGCUUUAGGUGAAAUCCAAACCAAGAUAGCUCAAUGAAGAAACCAUGGGUUGCAAAUAUCUCUUAAUCAAAGAAUCGGUGGAUUUAAUUAUCUCACUCUUGAAAGGAAAACUCUUCGAUGCUCCUACACUAAUAAUAAUGCUAUAAUACCACCUCAAAGGAUAAAGGAAGAACCAUUGCACCUAGACAUGCAAGAGAAAGGAUACUUGAGGUUCUCCAACAAGAAUCUUGAAGAACACUAGAGAAUGAAUUGAAACCUUGAUGAACCAUCAUGAAGGACCACCAUAUACAAAUGACCAAUGCGAAGAUAAUGAAGGUAAAAAGUAAUAAGAUUGAAGCCUUGCAAAGACUUCGAUGAAGCUUCACGAAGAGAUACUUGAGAAAACUUGGAACUCCGGAAAAGAAAGAUAAGAACACUUGAGAAAAAAGAAUUGAUAUUAUGAGCCACUCCGGAAGAAGAAUUCAGAUUACUAAGAACAAUAAUAAGAAUUAUGUUAUGCUUAUCCUUCAUCAAGUUUAAUUGAUGACAAGCAACCGAUUUAGCAUAUCACUUAUUCUACUAGAAAUGAAUCUUGAAGAGACAGAGAGAUAAGCACCACUUGAAGUAAAAUUAAGGAAGCACCGGUAAGAAUUCACAAUUAAAUGAGAACACCACGAAUUAAUGGAGAUACAUGACAAGCCACCUGAGAGAAGAAAACUAGAACAAAGCACCGGAAUAACCGAGAGACGAACGAAGAGACAACAAUUGAGAAGAAUUGAGGAUGAAAGCUGCAAGCUGAGAACGAAGAAGUCUUCUAAAAUGAUGGCCUUCGGAGGAUCGAGAAUGAAAAACAAAUCAUAAAAGCACCGAAUAGCAAAAAAGGGAUUGCUCAGGACUGACAACAAUUAAGAAGAUGGCACCAAGUUGAAAUGAUGAAUCUCCAAGAGAAUGAACCAAGAUUGAGAGAAACACUCCUUCGAAUUUGCAAGCUGAGAAUGAUGACGAGGAACAACACCAAGAAUAGCUGAGACACUCCGGAAUAAAGAAGAAUGAAAGGUUGAGCCAAUAUGAGAAUUAAUUCAAAUAGAUCUUGACGAAGGGAUAUGACUGAAGAAAUUCAUACUUACGUCAUAGUUGAAAAGAAUUAAAGAUCUCCGGAAGAUUACAAGAAUUAUAACAGAUCCUCGGAAAAACCUGUGGGUUAUGGGCCCACUCAAAGAAAUCACCGUUGAAAAGAUUACUAGAACGGGAGAUAUUGCACCGGUACAAGAAAACUAGAUGAGGUUAGCACCACAAAAUAACUGAAGGAUUGAAAAGAAGAACUUCUAAAAUAUCUUUAACACUCCGGAUAGAAAGAGAGAGGAAUUAAUAAACAAGAUAGGCUGAAAGAAUUUCCAACGUCGGAAAGAAUUUAAUGGUUGAAAAGGAUAUGAUGACCAUGGAUAACUGAACUGAAUUCACCGGUAAGGAUGACAAGAAUGAAUAAAGAUGAACAUGAAGCUCCUGAGAAUCUUCACAACGAAUCACCGGGUAAGAGAGAAAAGAACACACAGCGGAAGCACAAUAAAAAGAAAACUCUUGGAUGAAAAUUGAAUCACUGAGAAAAAGGGCGGGAGGGUGGGGAAAAACAAAGACAACUUGAGACAGAUGAGGCAACUCCGGUAAUACAAUGAGAGAAUGAUCUUGCAAAAUUAGAGAGGAUUGAAUUCACUGAAGAGAAGCACACCGGUUGGAAAAGAAUUGAUAUGACAACUCCGGUAGACAAGAAUUGAUAUGACAAUUUGAACGAACAAAAGAAUUUGCAUUCUCACAAAAAUAUGAGAACACCGCUUAGAGAAGAUCUGAAAUCACCACUUGACAUCGAAUAAACUAGAAUUACCAUAUUCCAACAAAAACAAAGAUGCGGCUUGCAAUUUGCCAGAACAAACUCAUGAGAAAGAUUUCGUCCGAUAUUUUCGUGGACAGGAAUCCACUAGAUAUCGAACCCCAACCUAACAUCAUGCAUUUGUUGGAAGAUUGUCCUAUAAGCAACUACUUGAAUUCCCACCUAUGAAUUCGCGAAAUAUCUGGUCAUGCAAUCUGGUACACGGAUACAAGGAGUAAUAUCACACAACUCCUAUACUAACCCGUCACCUGUAUCACAUCCGUCAACACACGACCAGAAUCUCGGACCUUCAUCUACAACAGACCCUCAUGAUGACAACGAUACAAAGUAUGGCAAUACUCCCGAACAAUCUGCACCAGUACUGGGGACAUCGGGGUUAUCUCGCCACUACUAGUAUUGAAGCAAUUACGAACAUCCUUCGUUCUUAGAUACUAAGAAAUCUGAAUGAUAACGAUGUGAUCAAGAAUCCCCUGGAGCUCAACUCCCCUAAAACUCAAAGCAGAUAGGAGGAACCAAGACAGAACUCCGUCACAUCGGCAUCAUAUAGAUUCCAAAAAUAUCCGCGUGAUCCUAAAAAAAUUGAGUGAGAAGAGGGGUAGAGCAAAUUAUUACGUCAAGAUUCCUCACCAGAGCAUAGAAGAGGAGAAAAAAGAAUCCUACUCUCCGAUAUAUAACUGAGACUCAAAUAGUUUUUCACUAGACUCGACUCGGCCAAGUUCGAUCAAUCAAGGGGCUCCUAGGUCGGUACUGCUCUGAUACCAACUUGUCACGAUGAGAUGCGCUUCUAUCCCUGACGAGGCCUUCGUGCCAAAUUGAGGAUAGGGACGCAUCUUGGGCGUGACAUAUGAUCUCUUCAUUCUCAUGUAUAUCCAUUAAUUCGUGGUGUUCCCAUUCAAUUGUGAAUUCUUACCGGUGCUUCCUUCAAUUUUGCUUCAAGUGGUGUUUUUCUCUCUGUUUUUCCAAGAUUCAUUUCUAGAGGAAUAAGUUGUAUGCUUAAUCCGUUGUUUUUUCAUCAAUUUAAUUUGAUGAAGGAUGAGCAUAACAUAAUUCUUAUUCUUGUUCAUAGUAAUCUGAAUUCUUCUUCCAGAGCGGCUCAUUAUGUCAAUUCCUUUUUCUCAAGUGUUCUUACCUUUUCUUUUGCGGAGUUCCAAGUUUUCUCAAGUAUCUCUUUGUGAAGCUUCAUCUAAAUCUUGGCAAGGUCAUAAUCUUAUUCUUUUCUACCUUCAUAUCUUUGCAUCGUUCAUUUGUAUACGGAGGUCCUUCUUGGUGGUUCAUCAAGGUUUCAAUUCAUUCUCAAGUGUUCUUCAAGAUUCUUGUUGGAGAACCUCAAGUUUUCUUAUCUUGCAAUUUCAAGUGCAUUUGUUCUUCCUUAUCCUUUGAGGUGGUAUUAUAGCAUUCUUGUUAGUGUAGGGGCCUCGAAGAGAUUUCCUUUCAAGAAUGAGAUAAUUAAACCCACCAAUUCUGUGAUCAUGAGAUAUUUUCAACCCAUGAUUUCUUCAUUGAGCUAUCUUGGUUUGGAUUUCACCUAAAGCUUUUCCUAUGGAUUGUUGCUAUCAUGGUGCUUAUCAUUAAUCCAAGUUCUCAAUGUAUCCUCUUGGUGUAAGAAAUUGUUCAUAUCUUGUUUCUCCCAAUCAAUCCUUGUUUCUUUUAGUGGCUGGUUGUCACUUCAUUAGUUUGAAAAGGUUUCCAUAAGCCCACUACUUUCUUGUUCUUUUUGUUGAUUGUUUUUCCAACAACUCCGUUCAAUUCUUUUUGCAAAGAUUCUUGCCAAGUUCAUUUGAGUUAGUAGUUGUCAUUCUUUUCUUCAUUCUCUUCUUCCGUAUGAGCUAGUUCCUAUUCUAUUGUUCCGGAGGCAUUGCGAUGUUGCCCUUUUGGGUCUAUUAUGUUGUUCUACCAAGAGCAUGGUGUUCCCUUGUUCUAUUUAGUUGUUUGUAAUAAAUAUGGUCUAUUUCUUCCAUCUUAUCGAUUUUUUUUGUCCCAUUUUCCUACCGAAGUGUUGCCAAAAUUUUCUGUGAAUUCUUGCUUCUUUCUCAUAUCAUCCCUCAUCUCCUUGCAACCUUCAAGGAUCGUUGGUUUCACUCGUUUGUCAAAAAGCGACUAAAUUUUUUCCUUCUGUCCUUUCUCAUCCUCUCCCCCUUUCAUUCUUGGAUCUCGGGGCGAGAUCCUCUUGUAGUGUAGGAGAGUUGUGACAGCCCGAUGCCGGCGUUCGAGAAGAUUCCCCUUCUAUUCCGUUUUCGUCGUGUGUCUAUUUUAUUUUUGUUGCAUCAUGCGCAUCAUCUGCAUUGCAUCGGCAUCUCCGUGCCGCCAGUUUUCAAAAGUUGCAUCCGUUGUUAGUUGCCGGUUCGCGUCGUUAUCCGUUCUAAGCCCAACCGCACACGCACGCGCCCGUGGCAUCGUCAAAACCGUGUUUUAAAAGUGUGUUGAAAACUUUCUCUGAUCGAGGUGAAACUUGGCAGGCGGUCGUGAUUAGUUAUAGCUAGGCCGCUUGUCGAAUUUCGUCGCGAUCGGAGUCCAUCUGGUACCCGAACGGUCGACCGUAGCGGCACCGUAUUCGGUCUACCGUCGGAUGGUUGACGGUGUUUUAAAAAUCGUUGCCGCGCUGCCCGUUCUCCCUCGCAUCUCCGGAUAACCAACCUACACGGCCAUUUAGUCUGUCCCGCGUUCGGAAUUACUCGAAUCCGACCGCGCGGUUGAAACCGGGGCGAAAAACUGCUAAACCUAGCCCCCCAUUGUUAUAAAUAGGACCCCAUGCCAUUUUUGGACAACCUCUCUCUCUCCCUCGUUUUCCGUGCAAACCCUAGACCCGCCUUGUAAUCCGCGCCCCAGCCAGCCUCCACCCACCUCGUGAGCCCCAGAUCUGAUCCAGCCUAGCUCACCCUAUCUGGACCGUCGGAUCUCGGAUCCAACAGCCGAGGGAGCCUCCCUCCUCCUGCCCGAGAUCCCUCCCAUGGCAGCGCCUCCCCUGCCGAGCAGCCCGCGCGCCUUCCCCCAUCAUCGGCCGGUGCGCCCGUGCUGCCCGCCGUCCUCCACCUGCGCCUCNUUCCCGCCGCUAGCCGUAGCUCGCCUCCGACCAGCCCGAUCCGCGUCGUCCUCCGCCCGAAGCUCGCGCCGCCGCCGGGAAUGCUCCUCCCGUGCACGGAUCCGUCCAGCCCCACCACUUCCCCAUGGCCUCGUCGCCCUAGGCCUCUCUGUGUGCGGAGUCCCCUGCGCCGCCGCCAUGGCACCUGCACGAGGAGGAUGACGAUCGAUCCGCCAGCGCCUCACUCGCCCGCUGCGCGCUUGGGCCGCCUUUGGUCGUGGGCCACGUGCCCCCACGAGGCCCACCACCGCCUCGGUUUGCCUUCUCCACGAGGCCUAGUAUGUCGCAGCCUCCGGCCGGCCCAAGGGGCCCCCCAAGGUGAGCCCCAUGUACUCUAUUCCCCGCCCCGUGCGCUGGAUAGUAUUCUGCGCCCAUGUGUCGGCCCGUUAGCUAUUUAGCUUUUUGGAAUAAAUAUAAAUUCCAAAAAAAUAGGUAAAUAUUUAAACGUCCGUAACUUCUAUUCCGUUAGUCGGUUUGCGACGUGUAGUAUAUGGUUUUCGUGUAGUUUCUCGCGUAGAAUACGAUUUCACAACUUGCAUAUUUGUUUGACAUCGUUUAGCGUGUCGUUUGCCUAGAAACACGUGAUAUCCUAUCAUGUUUGCGUCCCGUAUUUAUUUUUCCCGUGUGUCCGGUUUGCCCGAAUGCCUUAGAUAAAAUGUUCAUGCUCGCUCUAGGGACCCAUUUGCCAUGUAUUUUAGAGUAGCCGAUGGUAUUUUUGCACGUAGGGAUUUGCCGCUAGAUUAUUUUCCGUGUUCAGGACGUUAUCUCGCAUUUACGUGCGACGAUAUUUUUAUGUUGCAGCCCCACAUGUUUUAUAUGCUUUCGGGGUAGAAAAAUCCAUAGGAUUUUUCUGUGCAAUUAGUUUUAGCUUUUGAGUAAGUUAGUUUGCGCGAUAUUUUUUCCAUGUUACCCUUUUGUCUUUUUCGUAGGAUUUGUUCCGUGCUUCGUUUGAUUAAUUCGUAAACUAGAGAGUUGUUCUUUGAUGUUUAGUCUAGCCCCAGGUAUUUUUGGUGGCAAUAGAAAUGCAUGUUUAGGUGUGGUUUGCUUGCUCUCAAGUUGCUAGAAAUAGUGCUGAUUUGGAGGUGCUGAAAUAUUUCUAAGUCUGGAUUCUGUUAUAUUUUUUUGAUGUUUUGUUUUGCUUCUAUCUUGUGAUCUGUAGCUCUUUUGAGGUUGGUCCAAUGGAGUUAGUUGUAAACCUUGUGUUUCUAUAGCAUGCUGUGAAUUUUCAUGCCAUUUGGAGUCUUGUACUUAUGGUUUUGCUGCUGUCAAUAUGGCUUCAGAUCGAAAACUGCACUUUCAUGAAGUGUAAUUUUCACCAAGUCUGAAACUGUGUGUGAGAAGCCAUUUUUGACUUCUUUUCCUAGUGUUCCAUGAUGCCAUGCUAGUUGUUAUUAGUUGUUUGUUGUAGUGCUUCUUGCCCUCUUUCGUGACAUGCCUUGGUUGAUUAUAUUUGAGUUGUGUAGCUCGUAGUUGUGGGGUGUAGAGAAUGCUAUGUGGCUGAUUUUGGCAGAUUGUAGUGAUUUCUUGUUUUGCUCGUAGUUGUUGAACCGUAGCUCCGAUUUGAUCGUGCCCAAUAUGAAACUUGCCUAGAAUCUCAUGUAGUUUCAUUUUAUCUUGCUGAUUGUAUGUUUUGAAGUGCUCGUGACCGUCGUUGCACGCAUAUUGCAUUCAUGCCAUCAUAUCUUGCGGUGCUUGUAUCUUUUGAACCGUAGCUCCGUUGGAGAUGAUCUCUAUGUGUAAAUUGCUUGUAGCGAUGCGUAGAAUCAUGUGAACCUAUUUCUUUUGCUGUUUAACAACCAAUUAAAUGUGUUAGUUUAGAUCUGGACAGAAUUGUAAAUUAACCUAUGAGGUCGUUUCGGAGGUGCUAUAUGUCAUUUCCGACCUCAUUUAAAAUGCCUAGAUAGGUAGAUUAAUUGCGCUUCACCUCUUGCCAUGUUUAACCACAUUUAAUAUUGUCGUGUACCUAAUCGGGAUAGAACUAAAUAAUUAAACAUGGAGUUUCGUCAAUAUGCAACUUGUUGCAUAUUGAACUUCACUUAAUGUGUAGUGUUUCUUUGUGUGAAUUGUCAUGCUGUGACUUGCAUGUAUUCAGCUGCUCAUGCAUCAUAUGUGUUGUGCAUCGUGUGGUGAAUUGCGUGUGUUGAUUUGUGUUUCCGGUUUGCUUCGUCUCGUUAGAGUUCUGCAGCGUGCCGGAUUGUGUGGACCCGUUAGACUACGUUGGUUCGUCUGCUUCACGGAGUCAUUCUUCUUCCAAGCGGGAUCUCAGGCAAGAUGACCAUUUCCCCAGAUACCAUUACUAUCAUUGCCAUGCUAGUUUUAUCGCUUCUAACGUUAUGUCUCGUUGCCUACCACAUGUUUACAUAUCAGCCUCUCAACAAUGCCAUGAUAACCUUCAACAUGUUCGACCUAGCAAACCACUGAUUGGCUAUGUUACCGCUUGCUUAUCCAUGUUGUUAGCGUUGCUAGUUGCAGGUGUAAUUGCGUCCAUGUGAUAACAUGGGUUCAUUGUUAUAUCACCCUAUUUAAUGUUAUUUAAAUUUAACGCACCUAUAUACUUGGUAAAAGGUGGAAGGCUCGGCCUUUCUAGCCUCGUGUUUUGUUCCACCUUUGCCCCCUUAGUUUCCGGCUACCGGUGUUAUGUUCCAUAAAUGAGCGCUCCUAACACGAUCGGGGUUGUUAUGGGGACCCCCUUGAUAAUUCGUUUUAGAUUAAAGCUGGUCUGGGAAGGCCCAACAUUGGUACUACAUUUGCCUAAUCACCUAAUAAAAUUGCAUAGGGACUUUCCGGACCCCGAGGAUAAUUUAAUCAACCCCCGGGCCAGUGCUCGUCAUGAGUGUUGGUCCAAAACAGAGCAGCUUAUUAACGCUACCCGGGGCAACUCGGUGUUUGGCGUGGUAACCAUCGCUCAUCCGUCGUGUCCUGAGAACGAGAUACGCGGCUCCUAUCGGGAUUGUCGACACGUCGGGCGGCCUUGCUGGAUUAGUUUUACCUUUGACGAAAUAUCUUAUGCAUCGGGAUUCCGAUGAUGCUUUGGGUAAUCUCAGAGUUGAGGUUUUCCACUAAGGAAUCCGACGAGAUCGCGAGUGUUGUGAUUGAGGAUUUCUAUGCGGCUUGUGGUAAUUUGUGAUGGACUAGUUGGAGCACCCCUGUAGGGUUAAAUCUUUCAGAAAGCCAUGCCCACGGUUAUGUGGCAACGUGGAAACUUUGUUUAACUCUAGUUCUAGAUAACUUGAAGUUAACUUAAUUAAAAUAUGCCAACUGUGUGCGUAACCGUGACUGUCUCUUUCGUGAGUUCCUUCUCCGAUCGAGGACAUGGUGCGGUUAUGUCUGACGUAGGUAGGUGUUCAGGAUCAUUCAUUUGGUCAUCAGUAGUUCACGUUCGUUACGCGUAGAUCUUCCCCCUCUUAUUUCUUGUACUCGUAAGUUUAGCCACCCAAAUAUAUGCUUAGCCGUUGCUGCAACCUCACCACUUAACCAUACCGCACCCAGUAAGCUUUGCUAGUCUUGAUACCUUUGGAAAUGAGAUUGUUGAGUCCCCUGUGGCUCAGAGAUUACUACAACACCAGUUGCGGGUACAGGUAAAGGUUAAUUGACGCGAGUGCGUUGAUUGUUCAUUUGGAGUUGCUUCUUCUUCUUCAUCAUCGAUCUAGGAUGGGUUCCAGGUCAGCAGCCUGGGAUAGCAAGGAUGGACGUCGUUCUUCUUUUCUCGUUUGUUUUCGUUCGUAGUCGGACCCUGCUCUUCUUCAUGAUGAUUAUGUAUUGUACUGAUGUGACUCUGAUGUAGCUUGUGGCGAGUGUAAGCCAAUUCUAUAUAUAUCUCUUCCUUUCAGUACCUGUACUUGUAACGAUAUUCAUUCUUGCGACAUGACGAGAUGCGCUUCUAUCCCUGACGAGGCCUUCGUGCCAAAUUGAGGAUAGGGUCGCAUCUUGGGCGUGACACUUCACUUAUAUCUUUUGAGCUAGAUAACUUUGCUCUAGUGCUUCACUUAGAUCUUUUUAUAGCAUGGCGGUGUCAUAUUUUGAAGAAAUAAAAACUCUCGAUCUUCACUUAUAUCUUUUUGAGAGUGCUCUCUCUCUCAGUAACUUGGUAAUUGGCUUGUGCUAUGAAAGUAGUCCUAAAGAUGAUAGGCAUCCAAAGAGGAUAAAAUAAAAACAUCCAUAUUCAAGUGCAUUGAUUAGUAAGAGAAGUUUGAUUCCUAACAAUUAAGUUUUGAGGUAUGGAUUUGGUAAUAUUAGAGUUAUGUUAGUAGGGUGUUGUGAAUCUAGAAAAACUUGCGUUGAAGUUAGUGAUUCCCGUAGCAUGCACGUAUGGUGAACCGCUAUGUUAGGAAGUCGGAGCAUAAUUGAUUUAUUGAUUGUCAUCCUUUGUGUGGCGGACGGGAUCGCGCGAUGGUUAACACCUACCAACCCGUCCCCUAGGAGUAUGCGUUUAGCACUUUGUUUCGAUUACUAAUAAAACUUUCGCAAUAAGUAUAUGAGUUCUUCAUGACUAAUGUGAGUCCAUGGUAUAGAUGCACUUUCACCUUCCACCAUUGCUAGCCUCUCUAGUGCCGCGCAACUUUCGCCGGUGCACAAACCCACCAUAUACCUUCCUCAAAACAGCCACAUACCUACCUAUUAUGGCAUUUUCAUAGCCAUUCCGAGAUAUAUUGACAUGCAACUCCCACCGUUCCGUCUCAUGACUUGUGCCGUCACUUUCAUAUUGCCAUUGCAUGAUCGUAAGAUAGCUAGCGAGAUGUUUCAACGUCAUACGCUAAGCUAGAUCGUUGCACAUCCCGGUACACUGCCGGAGGCAUUUCCUAUGGAGUCAUCAUUGUUCUAAGUAUUGAGUUCUGAGUAAAUAAAAGUGUGAUGAUCAUCAUUAUUAGAGCAUUGUCCCAUGUGAUGAAAUAAAAAAAAGAGGCCAAAGAUGCCCACCAAAAAAAUGAAAAGAGGCCAAAGAGCCCAAACAAAAAAAGAAGAGAGAAAAAGAGAGAAGGGACAAUGCUACUAUCUUUUUCCAGACUUGUGCUUCAAAAUAGCACCAUGUUCUUCAUGAUAGAGAGUCUCUUGUUUUGACACUUUCAUAUACUAGUGGGAAUUUUCAUUAUAUAACUUGGCUUGUAUAUUCCAAUGAUGGGCUUCCUCAAAAUUGCCCUAGGUCUUCGUGAGCAAGCAAGUUGGGUGCACACCCACUAGUUCUCCUUUUGAGCUUUCACACACUUAUAGCUCUAAGUGCAUCCAUUGCAUGGUAAUCCCUACUCAUUCACAUUGAUAUCUAUUGAUGGGCAUCUCCAUAGCCCGUUGCUACGCCGAGUCGAUGUGACCAUCUCCUCCUUUUUGCCUCACAACCUCCACCACACUCUAUUCCACCUAUAGUGCUAUAUCCAUGGCUUACGCUCAUGUAUUGCGUGAGAGUUGAAAAAGUUUGAGGAAGUCAGAGUGCGAAAACAAAUACUUAGCCAAUACCGGGGUUGUGCAUGAUUUAAAUUCGUUGUGUGGGGAUGAUGGAGCAUAGCGAGACUAUAUAAUUUUAUAGGGAUAACUUUCUUAGGCCUUGUUAUUUCAAAAGUUCAUGGUCACUUUGCUAGUAUGCUUGAAGUAUUAUUGUUUUCGUGUAAAUAGUAAACUAUUGUUUUGAAUCUUACGGAUCUGAAUAUUCAUGCCACAAGAAAGAAGUUACAAAGGACAAAUAUGUUAGGUAGCAUUCCACAUCAAAAAUUCAGUCUUUAUCACUUCCCUACUCGAGGACGAGCAGGAGUUAAGCUUGGGGAUGCUUGAUACAUCUCCAACGUAUCUAUAAUUUUCUAUGGUUCCAUGCUAUUAUCUUGUCAACUUUGGAUGUUUUGUAUGCAUGAAUAUGCUAUUUUAUAUCUUUUUUGGGACUAACCUAUUAACUCAGUGCCAAGUGCCAGUUUCUGUUUUUUCGUGUUUUUGACCUUUUUCAGAGAAGAAAAUUAAACGGAGUCCAAACGGAAUAAAACCUGCGGAAUGAUUUUUUCCAUAACAGAAGAUAUGCAGGGGACUUGAGAAUCAAGGCAAAGGACCCCGGGGGAGGUCACAAUCCCCCUAGCCGCGGCCUGGGGGGCGCGCCUAGCAGGCUUGUGGGCCCCCCGUGGCUCCUUUGCCCUACUUCUUCCGCCUAUAAAUUCUCUAAAAAUCCAAAACCACCAAAGAGAGCCACGAAAAUACUUUUCCGCCGCCGCAAGCUUCUGUCUCCGCAAGAUCCCAUCUGGGGACCGUUCUGGUGCCCUGCCGGAGGGGGGAUUCAGACACGGAGGGCUCCUUCAUCAACACCAUUGCCUCUCCAAUGAUGCGUGAGUAGUUCACCACAGACCUUCGGGUCCAUAGCUAGUAGCUAGAUGGCUUCUUCUCUCUCUUGGAUCUUCAAUACAAAGUUCUCCAUGAUCUUCAUGGAGAUCUAUCCGAUGUAACAUUCUUUUGCGGUGUGUUUGUCGAGAUCUGAUGAAUUGUAGAUUUAUGAUCAGAUUAUCUAUGAAUAUUAUUUGAGUCUCCUCUGAUCUCUUUUAUGCAUGAUUUUGUAUCCUUGUAAUUCUCUUCGAGUUGUGGAUUUCGUUUGGACAACUUGAUCUAUAAUUCUUGCAAUGGAAGAAGUGCUUGGUUUAGGGUUCAUGUCGUGCGGUGUCCUCACCUAGCGACAGAAGGGGUAGCGAGGCACGCAUCGUGUUGUUGCCAUCAAGGGUAAAAAGUAUGGGUUUAUAUCUAUUGCAAGAAUUUAUCCCUCUACAUCAUGCCAUCUUGCUUAAGGCGUUACUCUGUUUGUUAUGAACUCAAUACACUAGAUGCAUGCUUGAUAGCGGUUGAUGUGUGGAGUAAUAGUAGUAGAUGCAGACAGUAUUGGUCUACUUGUCUCGGACGUGAUGCCUAUAUGUAUGAUCAUUGCCUUAGAUAUCAUCAUGACUUUGCGCGAUUCUGUCAAUUGCUCGACAGUAAUUCGUUCACCCACUGUAAUACUUGCUAUCAUGAGAGAAGCCUCUAGCUAUGGCCCCGGGGUCUACUUCACAUCAUAUUUUCAGAUCUACACUUUUACUUUGUUGCACUUUCCACCUUCAGAUCUCACCUUGCAAAUAAUCGUAAAGGGAUUGACAACCCCUUUAUAGCGUUGGGUGUAAGUUUGUUUGUUUUUGCGCAGGUACAUUGGUGCCUCAUCUUGAUGCUCUUACUAGAUUGGUACCUUGGUUCUCAAACUGAGGGAAAUACUUACUGCUACUGUGUUGCAUCACCCUUUCCUCUUCAAGGGAAAAACCAAUGCAAGCUCAAGAGGUAGCAACCAUAUGUUUGAGGGUUUGGUAAUCAUAUGUACGAUAUUUAUGUAACCACAUAUUUGACAAACUUAAGAGUUGUCUUUGUGAUCAUUUGGAAAUGAUCAAUUCCCAAUUAAAAUACAAUUCUUUCAUUGGUUGUCUUUAGCCUCCACUUUACUUUGAAUUCUGCAUGGUUCUAUUUGUGACCAUUCCAAAUGUGCUCAUGGCAGCAUGUUUCUCUUAAGGGAAAUAUUCAAGGUGAAUAAAUAUUCAUCCAUUUAUGUACUUAGCUUGAGAAUCAAGUGAAGUUGGUUACAUAUAAAAUGCAAUAUGUACAUACAUAGCUAUUAAGAGAAUAUCCAUAAAAUAUGUUCCUGAAGGUGGAGUUAUAGUGGCAAUAAUAUCACGGGUGGAUACAACGACUGAUGCCAUAAAUCAACAUACAAUAAAUAAUAUCACCUAACAUGUACUUAUUGUAUUUAGAAAUGUCAACCAUGCUUACUUGAAGAUGCUAAUGCAUUUAUUUAAUUUACUUCUAGGAGUAAGUGGCAUCUAUGAAUAAAUGAUUUGUUUGAGAACAAACAUCGCCAAGGUGAUCCGUGGUGAACUUGGGUGUAUCCUUCAGUUCAACACAUGUGAUGAAAUUAUUGCUAAUGUUUUGGAAUUCAUUCUUGAGGAAGUGUGUGACUUUAGAGUCACUGCCAAAACGUACAGACUUGCAUGUUUAACAUUGGUUAGUCACUAUGAAACUAUAACCACGAUGUGGUGUGGACCUUGCGAAAGUGUUGAGACACUCAAUCAUUGCCAUGUGUUUUACCAAUGUAAUAGAAGGUAAUCAUACGUAUAUGCAAAUAUUUCCUUAGUUUGCUAUUACAUAUUCAAGCAAAGUGUGCAAGAACAAUAUUUACUAUGAGAGUAAAAUAUUUUAGUGAACAACAACAAAAAAUGUUUCGGAGGAGCAAAUACUAGUACAGCUGACGCCUUAUAGACAUAUGUUACCUCUAUGGGUGAACCAGAGAUAAUUAAUUUACCUACAGUAAAUUUAAGACCAUCAUGGUUGAUGUUGUAAUGAAUUUAGUAAAAUUAAUGGGUAUUUCAAGAACUUAUCUUGAAACCAUUAAUGUGAAUCUCAAAUUGCUAAAUAUGGUACCUUCAAGAUAAUCUCCAAAAUGGAGUAGAUCUCGCGGCACUAGGGAGUAUAAUCUGAUGAAGUCACUAGACUCACUCGUAGUGCCUUAUGUCAUGACUUAGUAAAAUGUGUGGGACAGCACUUUGUAAAACAAUCAUAAUGUCAAGACGACAAAAUGUAGGCUUUAUCAAUAAUCAUUGAUAAUCUGCAUGGGCGGUAGAUCCAUAUGACUACCUUGUGAUCCCAAGCAUCAAUUUGAAAAAUAACACUUCAAAAUUUGCAUAUUUAUUUGCAAGAAAUUGAAAAUCUCAAUUGCAAAUAGACGUAUUGAUCUUGACAUGCGUUGAACAUGGAAAUAAAUACAUUUCGAAAUACAUCGUACUCAACAGAGAAACAGUACCGUAGAAGUACUGAAUUUAUCUUCGCAAGACAUUAAAAAUCUCUAUUGCAAAUGGACAAAAUUAAUCUCAACACGUGAUAAACAUGAAAAUAUAUUUCAUCAACUUAAGAUCUGGAAUACAACUCGGUACUCAACAGAAAUACACUACUAUUGUAAUGAAUAGUAAUGAUGUUGAAAACUUGAUGCUCAAGUGAAAACUUAAAUUGUAUAGACCUCAAAUUAAAUGAGAUGAUCUUGUAUCAAAUUGCAAGAUAAUUCAGCAGAGUGAAUUAAUGUUUUGCGAGAGAAAAUUGAUCUCAAUCGCAGUGAGAUUGUUUUCGAAAAAAGAAAACAAAUUCAAUCGCAAAUCAAUAUUGUUUUGCGAGAAAACUUAAUCUCAAUCGCAAAUCAAUAUUGUUUUGCGAGAAAACUUAAUCUCAAUCGCGGAAAACAUGUGCUAGAAAAUUUGAUAUGUGGUAAACACAUUGAACAUGUCAAGUAUCAAUGUACAAAUAUUUCUGGAAUUUUAAAACUCAACAGAAAACAGUACUAAAAUUAUGGACUAUUUUAGCAGAUCUAAAACAAAAGUAAAUUACUGCUAGAAGUGUUGUUAGGAGAUUAAUUGCUAAUCUGCUAAACAAAGAUGCAAAUAAGCAAAUAAAACAGGCGUUGCGGCCUGCAUAAAGUACCAGCCACAAGCAAAUUUGCCACGUGAAGGCAGCCCAUCCAGGCCAACGCGAGCAGAUAAGGAAGAGGGACCAGAGGAAAUAUCCACCACCGCUUUCGUUCCCAAAUCGCACCGAGACGGGCGGAGACUCCCACGGCUAGUUGGCCACUUCACCGGCGGAGAGGUGAGCCCCCUCCGUGCUCGUCAUCUUCCUUGGGAGAGGAACCACCAAGGAGCCCGUGGCUGGAAGCCACGCUGAUGAAGGCGCCGUUUGCGGCACCGUUCAUGAGAUCGAGCGCCGCGUCCGAGCGCGGGCGAGCGCAACCAUGGCCUGGUGUGGGCUCGAGCGGGCGUGGGCGUGGCGUGGCCUGGCGCUGUNCGGCCACGCAAACGGGCGCGGGGUAUGGGCGGGCGCCACAGCCACGGCGUUCAAUGUCAGGCCGAACCACCAAAGGACGCUGCGUGCUCCUCCCUAGGAGUCGCGUCGGGCGUUGCCACACUUUCAUCGACCGCCUUCGUCGUCGCGUGGAUGUAGAAGAUGCGGGUGCGCCGCUGUCGAGGAACCGCUGUGGGCUCCAUCGCGAGCCGUGAUGGGGAGGGCGUCGGCCACUACUGUCUGCGUCCGGGAGAAGGAGAACGAGAGGGCGAGACCAAACCAUGCGCUGGAGGGCGCCAGGUCGAGCACUGGCACCUGGGCUCCAGCGCCGCUUCGCAUGUGGUUGGUCAUCGGCGACGAGAACGACAUCCGUAACUGUCUGGAUGGACUGAUCUCUCUUGUGGCCUUCUGCUCUCGGUAGAGACACGUGACUGAUAACGUAUUAAACGGAAACGAGAUUGAAUGAAAGUGAAUGGACAAUUAGUCUUGUUUCUAUUGAUUCUCAAGUAUACAUACAUCUGAAAAAGGUGCGAAGAAUAGGUGUAUGUUCGAAGACAUCCCUUCAGAACAGGUGCGUAUUGACAAUAGAGAGAGAGGAGACACGAUUGUUCGGAGUUGGACACAUCCCUUGAGUUAAUGUACUGACUAAUUUCUAACAGGCAUGCAGAUCCUACCCCAAGCGACCUUGCAUUAGCCACUGUGGCAAAAUUCCUGGCCUUUCCAAAGCCAUGCACGCCUAAUCUUGUCGAUUUGCCAGCUCACCCACCUCGGCAUCUCAUGCGCCGACAUCUAGUGCACCGUGAACGCUGAGAACACCCAGUUGAGGAGGACCAGCCUGCGUGCGGUAGCAAGCAAUUUGAACUUCCAACACGCCAACCUUGCCAAGAUUUUUUCAAUAAGCGGUUGCAUAUCACUCUUGCGCAGCUUGUGGAGGGAGAGCGGGAGACCGAGAAAUCUACAUGGAAAGGUUGUGCAUAUGGCCCCCAGGGGUCCGACCACGUCGUGUAAGCAGAAGAUGUCGUCAUUGAUGGCCAACAUCGUACUCUUGGUGAAAUUUACUUUGAGUCCCGUAGCGUCCGCGAAUGCUCGAAGGAUUGAUCGCAGCGUUAGCAUUUCCUGUCUCAUUGGGUUGAGAAAGACUGCGACAUCAUUAGCGUACAAACAAGUGCUUCUAGUCAAUUCUCACUUGUGGGCGUUGAUGUUGGUCUUCUAGUGGACCACUAUUUUCCACCACCAUCCCUCGUGGUGAGGAUGUGUAGCACCGCGCGGCCGUUCAAGUCAAUGUUGUCGAUUCCCAUAUCUUCCGAGAGAAGCUCCUCAACCUGUACACACCGCUAACAAUAGCUACUUUGUCGUGUCCAAGUUCUCUCACAUGCUAAUCACAACAUCAAUUGGUGGCUUGAGAUUAAAAUGAGCAUCAAAUACACUUACACUGGUAAUGUUUCAAACAAUAUGGGCACUGUCCCCAUGUGAAAAAUACAAUCCAUUGAUAAACAUUUUGCGUUUGCAUUGGGCGUCCUGCUCUAUUAGAUAGUGGCCUCUAACGUGCAGUGUGACGUGUGGCACGUUGGCUGGUGAUUGUUCAGUUUACGUAGGUGCCUUGUGACGUGUGGCACGUUGAUUGGUGAUUGUUUAAUUUAUGCAUAGGUGUCUUGUACUUCACCUUCCUCGUGCUGCCGUAAAAACAUUGUUUGCUAAUAUUCCAUGGGUUUCCAAGUAUAAAUAACGGUUUGCUAAAGCACAUAUCAUUGAUUUUACUUGAAGAUUCAUACAGAUAUUUUCUUUUUCCUUUUUCUGUUUUCUUCUUAUGUUGAUUGAGUCAUUUAGAUGUGCAAUACUUAAGACACAUCUAGACAAACUCAAUAAUAAUCUGUGUCUUACAGAUCUCGAAAUUAGGGAUAUCCAUUUUCUCCAUGCUGUGGACGUUCUCAUGAAAAAGUAAUAAAUUUAGGUGGAUAAUAGCUUCAGGAACCCAGUUUACAUAAUUUAGGAAAAAAAAUUGUUUGCAACAUACAAAAAAUGUCAAAAUUAGACGCCUAGACAAGAUAACUGAUCGCGUAAUUCUCCGAGCCUGAUCACACGCCGUUCUUUCUUCCUGCAAGAGCCAGCGCGUCCCCACGGGCAAAAGGAUGGGCAGAGAGGAACUGGUGGCGGCGAGUGCCAGAAGGUAGACCAACAUGUUAUAGCCGCUUGCACUAUGAGAAGAUCCACUUGUGUCUUCCAAAUCUAUCGCAACAAACAUUUUCCAACAUGGUAUAAUCUCAUCCUCAUUCAGAUCUCUUGGACUUCCUCUUUCGUGAUCCCGACUGUUUUUGUCCUCUUUCCUUACGGCCCACAUUGUCCCCAGCUUCUUUGUGCUUCCGCUGCUUCUUCUUCAACGUAGACUUCUCAGCCUCCCCCUCCAUGAGAUGUUCGUACUCUUCUAGACUUGCAAAUGGAGUUGAGCCGCUCUUUCGCUUUCGCCCACGGGCUGCAGCUGCAGCCUUUACAUCAGUAACAUCAUCAUCUGAAUCGUCAGCACUCUCAAGGGCUUCAGCAUCCAUAAAAGACAUGUUAAGACCAUCUUCAUCGGGGGGUCGUCGUCGUCAUCUGAAAUGUCAUCCAACACAUCAGCAUCACUGUCGUCUCUAAGCAAAUCCCCUUCCUCCUCAAAUGCCUUGGCGUCAAGAUUGUCGUAGUCAUAUUCUCCAUCCUCCGAGGACUCAUCUUCCAGCUCCUGCAUCUCGUCAUCACUUUCAUCACUC